AUGCUCUGAAGUUGUUUCGGAAGGAGGCUAGAAUACAGGGUGAAAUGUCCCAGUGGAAACAAGAAAUUGUUAAGAAGUACUGUGCUGGGUUACCUAUGGCAAUAGUUACAGUUGGAAGGGCAUUAAGAGACAAGAGCGACUCAGAGUGGGAAAAACUUAAAAAGCAAGACCUGGUGGGAAUUCAGAAUUCUAUGGAGAUUUCUGUAAAAAUGAGUUAUGACCGUCUAGAAAAUGAGGAGCUUAAAUCCAUUUUCUUUCUUUGUGCUCAAAUGGGUCAUCAACCCCUAAUUAUGGACUUGGUGAAGUAUUGCUUUGGUUUGGGAAUACUUGAAGGGGUCUACUCGCUUGGGGAAGCUCGGGGCAGAAUAUCUACAUCAAUCCAAAAGUUGAAAAACUCAGGUUUAGUGUUGGAUGGAAGUUCUAGUAUUCAUUUCAAUAUGCAUGAUCUGGUUCGAGAUGCUGCUUUAUCUAUAGCACAGAAGGAGCAAAAUGUAUUUACUUUGAGAAAUGGGAAACUUGAUGAUUGGCCUGAACUCGAGAAGUGCACUUCUAUUUCUAUAUGCAACAGUGAUAUCAUUGAUGAGCUUCCAGAAGAAAUAAAUUGUCCUCAACUUAAAUUUUUCCAAAUUGACAGUGAUGAUUCAUCUUUAAAAAUACCUAACAGUUUUUUUAAAGGAAUGAAAAAGCUCAAAGUAUUAAUGUUGACUGGUAUUCAACUAUCAAGCUUACCAUCUUCAAUUGAAAGCCUAUCAGACCUCAGAUUGCUUUAUUUGGAGAGAUGCACCUUAGAUCACAACUUAUCCAUCAUAGGGAAGCUAAAAAAAUUAAGAAUUCUCAGCCUUUCUGGAUCUCGAAUUGAAAAUUUGCCAACUGAGUUAAAGGACUUGGAUAAACUACAAUUACUAGACAUCAGCAAUUGUUCAAUAGUCACCAUGAUUCCACCUAAUCUUGUAUCAAGGUUGACUUUGUUGGAAGAGCUGUAUGUAAGAAAGUGCUUCAUGGAAGGGUCGGAGGAAGGAGAGAGAAACCAAUGUCAAAUUUCAUUUAUUUCUGAACUAAAGCAUUUGCAUCAAUUGCAAGUGGUGGACUUAAGCAUUCCAUGUGCUGAAGUUUUUCCCAAGGAAUUGUUCUUUGACAACUUAAGUGAUUACAAGAUUGAGAUUGGGAACUUCAAAACGCUUUCAGCUGGAGAUUUCAGAAUGCCUAAUAAGUAUGAAAAGUUCAAGUCUUUGGCAUUGGAGCUGAAGGAUGACACUGACAAUAUUCACUCUCAGAAAGGAAUAAAGUUGUUGUUUAAAAGAGUUGAAAAUUUGUUGUUGGGAGAGCUGAAUGGUGUUCAAGAUGUUAUUAAUGAGUUGAAUUUGGAUGGAUUUCCACAUCUGAAACACUUAUCCAUCAUAAACAACCCUAGCAUCAAAUAUAUCAUCAACUCAAAGGAUUUGUUUUAUCCUCAGGAUGUUUUUUCCAAGUUGGAAUCUCUAUGUCUCUACGAACUAAGAAAGAUAGAGAUGAUAUACUUUAGUUCAGGUACAGAGAUUAUAUGCUUUAGUCCAUUUACAGAUUGCUCAUUCACCAAAUUAAAAACCAUCAAGGUCAAGAAGUGUGACCAAUUGAAGAAUCUUUUCUCCUUUUGCAUGGUAAAAUUGCUUGCGAGUCUUGAAACAAUUGGUGUUUCCAAUUGUGGUUCUUUAGAGGAGAUCAUUAAAAUACCUGACAAUUCUGAUAAGAUUGAGUUUCUUAAGUUGAUGUCUUUGUCACUUGAAUCAUUAUCAUCAUUCACUAGUUUUUAUACCACAGUAGAGGGGUCUUCUACAAACAGGGAUCAGAUACAAAUUACUGUUACAGAGAAUGAGCAUAGUGAGAUGGCUCCUCCUCUUUUUGGUGAACUGGUAUGAUAGUGCAUAUUUUUCCUUUAAAAUUUUUAAUUAGUUUGUGACUAAUUAUUUUUCAGUUGUAAAUAUGUUAAUUGUGUAUGUGUUUGCAGGUUGAAAUACCAAACUUAGAGAACUUGAAUUUAAUCUCAAUGAACAAGAUCCAGAAGAUAUGGAGCGACCAGCCCCCGUCAAACUUCUGCUUUCAAAACUUAAUAAAAUUAGUUGUGGAUGAUUGUGAUAAUUUGAGAUAUUUGUGUUCAAUGUCCGUGGCCAGCAGUUUGAGGAAACUGAAAGGCCUCUUUGUAAGCAAGUGUAAAAUGAUGGAGAAGAUUUUUAGCACAGAAGGAAAUAGUGCAGGCAAGGUGUGUAUAGGUGUAAAUAAGUAAAUUUUUAUAGUUGACUGAAUGUUAUGCAUUUCUGUUUAGUUUGAUUACCAAAUAAUGGUUUGUUUUCAUCAAAGUGCAGGUCUGCGUCUUUCCUAAGUUGGAGGAAAUCCAUCUCGAAGGAAUGGUUGAGUUAACAGACAUAUGGCAAGCUGAAGUGAGUGCUGAUUCCUUUUCUAGUGUCACUUCUGUGAACAUUGAUAGUUGCAAUAAACUAGACAAAAAUUUUCCGAGUCACAUGGAAGGAUGGUUUGCGAGUUUGAACAGCUUGAAGGUUUAUUAUUGUCAGUCAGUGAAAGUGAUUUUUGAAAUCAAAGAUUCUCAGCAAGCAGAUGCAUCUGGUGGGAUAGACACAAAUUUACAGGUUGUUGAUGUAUGUGGACUCCCAAAGUUGGAGCGGGUGUGGAGCAGGGAUCCAGGAGGAAUUCUUAACUUCAAAAAACUGCAGAGUAUACAAGUGUUCUCUUGUGAUAGACUGAGGAAUGUAUUUCCAGCUUCUGUGGCCAAAGAUGUUCCAAAGCUUGAAUACAUGUCGGUCAGAUGGUGUGAUGGAAUUGUGGAAAUUGUUGCCUGUGAAGAUGGAUCCGAAACAAACACUGAACAAUUAGUGUUUCCUGAACUAACCGACAUGAAAUUAUGUAACCUAUCAAGCAUCCAGCAUUUCUACAGGGGGAGACAUCCUAUAGAGUGUCCAAAAUUGAAGAAGUUGGAAGUAAGGGAAUGUAACAAGAAGCUAAAAACAUUCGGAACCGGAGAAAGGAGCAAUGAAGAAGAUGAAGCAGUUAUGUCAGCUGAAAAGGUAAGUCAUAUAGUGAGACAUAAAUGGAGAGUGAUAUUGUAAGAUGUGUGGCAUACUUAAAAAAGAUAUAGCCCUGCUAAAUAUAAUAUGGAUUAUUAAUUUAACGUCUCUCGUCCCCUAAUCCCUCUUUUAUUUAGAAUUGAAGGGAAUGUUUGAUAAUUAUUAUAUUUUUUUAGAUAUAGCUAGGAAUGAUUAAAAGACGCUAAAUUGAAGCAUCAUUAUAGCUAAUUUGAAAAUCAACUGUGAUUACACUACUACCACAGUAGUGAAAAAAGUUACUUGCAUUUUAUUCAUCAACUGAAUUAAUACUUCUCUUUAAACACAAAUUUGGUAGUUGGCCCAAAAACUGGUAGUUGAUCCUUUGAUCAAUCUAUUAAAAUUUUGACACCCAUUCACUUAUCAUAAUUAAUAUUGCUGAAGAGUAGUCCAUGGAGGCCAAUGGAAUGAUUAUAUGGGGGUUGGGAUUGAGACAGCCUAUUCCUUUUUCUCUCAUCCCCUUUUAAGUUGCUCUCAAGAUCUCUAUAUUGGGGUGAAAUUGUCCUAACAACCACAGUAAUGCGGUAGGUUUGUUGGUUUUAGGAAAAUUAUUCAGGUACUAUUUUUCAAACCCAUCUGAUAUCAUUAGAGUAACCAAUGUGCAGGCAAGGGGCGCUCCAUCAGGGAUAAGCUUCCUUCUUCAUAGUUUACUAUUUACUUUUCUUUUAUUUUUCUUUAGAUAUUCCCCAACUUGGAGUAUUUGUAUAUUGACUUUGACGAAGCACAAAAGUGGUUAUUGAGCAAUACUGUGAAGCAUCGAAUGCACCGUUUAAAAGAGCUUAGGUUAACCGAAGUUAAUGAUGGUGAACGUCUCUGUCAGAUUCUGUACAGAAUGCCAAAUCUAGAAAAGUUAUACUUGUCGGGCGCUAAAUAUUUGCUUAAAGAGUCGUCGGAGUCACGUUUGGGAACCGUAUUACAGCUGAAGGAAUUGGAUUUGUGGUGGUCGGAGACAAAGGAUAUAGGAUUUGAACGAGAACCAGUUCUACAGAGACUAGAGCUUUUGAGCUUAAAUGGGUGUGACAAAUUGAGGAAUUUGGGUCCUCCCUCGGUAUCAUUGGCUUACUUGACAAAUUUGGAAGUAUGGUAUUGUAAAGGAUUAAGGAAUUUAAUGGCAUCCUCAACGGCAAAAAGCUUGGUUCAACUUAAGUCCAUGAAGAUAGGGGGAUGUGAUGAAUUAGAGGAAAUAGUAAGCGAUGAGGGAAAUGAAGAAGAAGAGCAAAUAGUGUUUGGCAAAUUGAUUACUAUAGAACUUGAGGGGCUAAAAAAGCUGAAAAGUUUUUGCAGUUACAAGAAGUGUGAAUUCAAAUUCCCGUCAUUGGAAGUAUUGAUUGUGAGAGAAUGCCGAAUGAUGGAAAGAUUCACGGAGGGUGGCGCAAGAGCAGCAAAGUUACAAAACAUAGUUACUGCUGAUGAAGAAGGAAAAGAGGAAGCCAAAUGGCAGUGGGAAGGAGACUUGAAUGCCACCAUACAAAAAGGUUUCAACAAGGUACUUAUUCAUUUAUUUAUGAUUUAAAUAUAUUUUUAUUUAUCUUGUUAGUAUUUUUUUUAUUCGUCCUUUUUUAUUUUUGUUCUUCAAAGUUAUUAUUUUUGUUAAUUUUAAUUUUUUAAGAUAUUUUAUUCAUUUUUAAUACGUUAAUAUUUUUUUUUUAAUUUUAGCCUCUUUAAUAUUUUAAAACAUACAUUUAUAAUCCUCCACGCGAAAUUAAAAUUAAAAAAAAUACAAACUUAUAAAAUUAAAAAUGAGUAAAACAUAUUAUGGAGAUCAAAAUAAAAAAAGCAUAAAAUUUCAAGGACUAAAAUUAAAAAAAAAAACUUACCAGAGACAAAAUUAAAAAAAUAUUAACUUUCAUUUAUCAAAUACAUAUUUAAACUUAUAUUUAUUUCAAAUUCUCCUAGUUUUAUUAACUUUUCUUCUUUCCUUAAAAAAACAAAUUUUUCUUCUUUCAUGAGAUAAAAAAAAUUACUUGCCAUGAAUGGAAAUUAUAAAUCCUUGUUUUUGCCAUAAAAAGCCUUAACCAGCAAGUAUGUUAAAUUUCUUAAGAUAUAAAUAUGUUAGCUCAAAAAAACCAGCAUUUAUAUAAAUUUAUUAAUCAUUUUUGUUUUAAAAAAAUUCAUUCAUAAAAUUUAAAAUAAUACAAUUUGACUGCUUCACGUAGCCAGCGUAGUCAUAAAGAAAACUUUCCCUCAUCAUACAACUUUUCUUUUUAAUCAAAAUAAAUAAACUUCAAUUCAUAUUUGAUUGUCAUCCAUUAAUUUUUUGUUAACAUUUUUAGUCCUUCUAGAAAUUUUUGCUCAUUAUUAAUCCUAUUGUUUAUGUUAUAUUUAAGAAAAAAAAUGACUAAAAAUGGAUCGACGAACACAUUUUUAGGGGAAUUAAAACUUUAAAGAAAGAUUGAAAAUUGUUAAAAAAGAGGGAAAAAUUAGAAUAUAAAAAGAUGUGAAGUUAAAAACUUAAUUAAAAAAAAUUAACUUGUUGAUUUGUGAAAUGGAACAAGUUGUAUUUGACUUUACAUAUAUAAAAUAACAUAUAAACGUGAUAAUAAGUUAAUAAAUUUAUUCAUAUAAUUUGUGACUAUUUAUAUAUCUAUAAAAUAAAAGUCACAUGAGAAGUUAUUAUAACUUACAAGGUUGAUUUUGUAGUUGGGAAAAAGGAUUUGAAGGAAAAAGGAUGAAAGAGGUUUUAAGUUACGAUACUUUCACUAAUAUUUUAAUAAAAAAACAAACAACUAAUAUUAAUUGAUGAAAAAAAUGUCUUUUAUACAUACUGAAAAAUAAGGAUAAAAUAUAUUUUUUUCUUUUUUUGUUGAAAUAUAAAAUAUCGUGAAAAUAAAAUGACAUUAUUAGUAAAUGAUAAAAUAUUUCUUAAACAAAUCAUCCAUAAUUUCAUCAUUGAUAAAAAUAAAUUAUCAUAUUAUUUACUUAUAUAUUUUUUUUAACCUUUUGUGCAGCUAUCCAUAUUUAGUAUUUUAGCACAUGAAUGGCAGAAAGUGAAUAUUUAUUUAUACAACAAGAAUUUGUAAUUUAUAAUAAAUAAAUAUUUUAAGUAUAUAAAUUAUAUUAUAAUUAAAUUUUCUAAUAUAUAAUUUUUAACAUAUAAAUUACAUUUUAAAUUUAUGAAAAAUAAUUUAUGUUAGGAUGUAUUAUUAUUUUAAAUAAUUGAUGUUUUCUUUUAAAAAUAUUUAAAUUAAGUUAGAAACAAGGAUGCCGUCAAGUUUUCUUACGCCAAUUAUCUUAGUUUUGUUUCUCUCUGAUGGAAGGAAGGUGUUUUAAUGGUCCCCUAUGAUUGAUGAUGAAACUUGGAAUGUAAUUUUAUAAUAAACAACGGACAUAAUUGCUCCCUCCAUAUUAAUAUCUGUCUUGUCACACAACUCAGUCUCCUCAUUCUUUGGCGUUGGCUUCUUCAUCUUAUAUCAAGAUACCAAGAGUCCAUGGAUUCAUUUUUUACUAUUAAUUAUUAAUUAUAUAAAAAUUUAUUCAUUUGACUAGUGAGUUUUAAGAUAUUAGGUGUUUUUCAUUAAAAUAUAAUAAAUAUAUUUUUAAUUAAUAUGAUAAUCUCAAAGUAAAAAAAAUAUUAAAUUUAUUAUUAAGAAUUUUUCAUUGAAAGUUUAAAAUAAUGUUAACAACAAAUUCUCACAUAAAUUAAUUUAAUGAUGACAUCCACGUAUGAAUUAUAUAUAUAUAUAAUUUAAUAAAUAAGAUUAAUUAUUUUUUUUCAAUAAAGAUGAUUAUGUAUACAUUAAUAUGUCUCGAUUAUUAUUAUCCUAUUUUAUAAUAAUCUUAUGAUAAAAAAUAAAUUAGAUUAAAAUUAUAAAAAAAUUGAUUAUUAUUAUUAUUAUAAUUUCUAUCAUAUAACAUGUGUUUAAUUUUAAUCUAGACCUAUCAAGUUAACAAUUUAAUAAAAAAUAAAUAAUAACUUUUUUUUAUCAAAAUUGAUAAUAAGAUGAAUUAGAUAUUUAGUAUAUAUAUUUAAUUCCAACAAAUAUAUAUAUAUAUAUAUAUAUAUAUAUAUAUAUAUAUAUAUAUAUAUAUAAUUCUACAUUUUUACUUAUGGUUUAUCUAAAAAUAAUAAAAUAAAUCUAUGAUCUUAUAGUUUAUAUUAUAAAUAGCUUUCUUUAUUAAUUAAUAAUAGUUUUUAUAAUAUAGAGCUAUUUCUUUUCAUUUGUUAAACCAUGUUUGUUUGAAUUUUUAUUCAGAACUGUUAUAAUUUUGAGAGAGAAAAAUAUGAUUAUUUUCUUUAAGUUUAUUAAAAAAUCCAUAGAUUUUUUUCCCUGUAUCCUCACACAAAUAUUUUGUAUAUAAAAAAACAAACUAAAUGUUUCAGGUUCAUUUUUUCACACAAAAAAUGGAAAUGAAAAUUUUAAUUUUUCAGACAAAAGUAAAAAAAAAUUAUACUAUAUAAAAAAUAUUUUGGUUCCUCCAAUAUUUUUUUUUCUCAAAGUUCCGCCAAUGAUUUCAUGCGUCUCUAUGUCUAAUAUCAAGUUCCUCUCUUUUUCUUUGUCUUUUUAUUAACUAAAUUCAGUAUUAAUAAAGUAACUGAUUUAUGACUAAUCUAUCUAUUUGUUAUAAUGUAAUCGCCAGCUAUGAAACUGACAUAUUAGCCUUUUGUAAAUAAUAUCCUAUUUUGCAUGCACAGCUUUUUGAGUCUGCAAGUACUGAAUCAUCUCUUAGUCUCAUAGAUAGCCCACUACAAGUGAUAUGGCUUGACUCACGGCGGAUCCCAAAGUCGUGCUUCAGUAAGUUGAAGUCUUUGACUGUGGACGGAUGCCAAUUUUUAACAGAUGUUGUCAUACCCUUCUAUUUACUUCCUUUCUUAACUAAUUUGGAAGAAUUAGAAGUCUCGGACUGUCGUUCUGUGAAAAGCAUAUUUGAAGUGAAAACAGCUAUGGGAUUGGGAGCAGCAGCCUUCCCUAGACCUCUCCCUUUUUCCCUCAAGAAAUUGACUUUAGAGAGGCUGCCAAAACUGGAGAAUGUCUGGAAUGAAGAUCCUCAUGGAAUUCUAACCAUGCAACUUCUACAACAUGUUAUUAUUGAGAAAUGUAAAUGCCUUACAAGUGUGUUUCCGGCAUCAGUAGCCAAAGAUCUUGUGAAACUUGAAGAUCUAUUUGUGCAAGACUGUGAGGAAUUGAUGGAAAUUGUUGCAGAGGAUAAUGCAGAUCCAAGAGGAGAAAAUCUAGAGCUUACGUUCCCGUGUCCCUGUGUGAGGUCAUUGAAACUACAAGAUUUGCCCAAGUUCAAGUAUUUUUACUACUGCUCACCGCAGUUUGACAUGUUCCAGACACCUAGCGAGGAUGAAAUGGUACUAUUGUCUUACUACUUUGUCCUUACUGCAUAAUCUCAUGCCUGCAAAUUAAAUAUAAUUGCACUACUUCAUUUUUAUUGUUCAACAUGAGUGAUAUGAACAUUCUCUUAAAAUUAAAAUGUGAGAAUUUCACGUUCAUUACUAUAUAUGCUGUGUUCUAUCUUCUAUGCCUAUAAACUCCCAUUUUUCAUAUGUUUUACAUAAAUAAGUAAAAGAAUACUCUUAAGGGUACAUGUUGCAUUCAUGAUACAACAAUUACAGAGAAUCUUACACACGCCAUUUUACUGUAUCAAAUAUCAUGUAUGGAUCCCAAUCUUUAUAAACAACCUUUAUAACUGCUCUAACCUGCUUUUGCUUGGUUAUCGGUUUCUCUUGGUAGCCUACAUCCAACUUACAGUGCCUGUCACUCGGUGAAAAAGGACUGGAGAUGAUCAAGCGUGGAGAAUUUCAGAGAAACUUCUUACACAAGCUACAACCGGCGCCCAAUAUAGAGAAGCUUGUGGUGUGUGAUGGUUCCUUCAAGGAGAUUUUCUGCUUUGAUAGUCUUAAUGUGGAUGAGGCUGGACUCCUAUUACAGCUUAAAGUCUUAUGCUUGGACUCCCUUCCAGAGCUUGUUUCCAUUGGGUUAGAGAACUCUUGGAUUCAGCCCUUACUGGGAAAUUUAGAAACCUUGGAAGUAAUAGGUUGUUCUAGUUUAAAAGACUUGGUACCAUCUACAGUGUCUUUUUCCAAUCUGAAAUAUUUGAAAGUAAAAAGUUGCAAUAGCAUGCUAUAUUUGUUGACAUCCUCAACAGCCAAAAGUUUGACUCGACUCAAAAGAAUGGAGAUAGAAUGGUGUGAUUCAAUUGAAGAGGUAGUCUCUAAGAAGGGAGGUGAAUCACAUGAGGAUGAAAUAAUAUUUCCGCAGCUCAAAUGUUUGAAACUUGAAGGAUUAGGAAAGCUGAGAAGGUUCUACAGAGGAAGUUUAUUAAGUUUCCCAUUAUUGGAGGAAUUGUCAGUAAUCUAUUGCGAGUGGAUGGAAACAUUAUGUCCAGGUACCCUAAAAGCAGACAAGUUGGUUCAAGUUCAACUUGAACCAACUUGGAGGCACUCAGAUCCUAUUAAAUUGGAAAAUGACCUGAACUCUACCAUGCGGGAGGCAUUUUGGGAAAAGGUAUGUUUUCAAUUAUUUUGAUUAAAUAUGAUUGAUAUUGGUGUAUGUUGUUCUUAUAAUGCAAAAUAUACAGCGUUAGGUUAAUUAGAUUCAUCUUCAAAUUAACUUUGGCCUCAUCCAAUUUAUCUUGGAUUCUCAGCGUCGUCCAAUUUUUCGGAAAACCAAAAAACUCUUAGAAACAACAUUUAUGUGCCAAUCCAAUUUGGCUAAUAUUAAUUUUUUUUACGUUAAACUCAUAAUAUUUAAAUAAUUUAAUUUAUUUUCUAUGUAUUUUAUCAUUGCUACUUAACUUAUAUAUAUAUAUAUAUAUAUAUAUAUAUUAAUAAUAUAUAAUGAAUCCAAACUCUUUCAAGUCAUUGUAAAAAUGAUUUGAAAAUUAUUUAAUUUUUUUUAUUAGUAAACUAUUUAAUUUUAUUUAUAUUAAUCCUAUUAAAUAAAAGACACUAUCAAUCUUUUAUAAUCCACUCUUAUAUACAUAUUCAAAAUAUUUAUCUUUUAGCAAUUUUAACUAUAUAAAAAAAUUAUCUUCUAGGAUUAAGAUACUAAUUAUAUUUAAAAUCUAGAUUAGGUAAUUAAAAUGUUAGUUGUUCAUUUUUUUAAUUAUCUUUAACUUUUUGUUAUUUCUUCAUUUAUACAUAAAAAUAAUUAAAUAAAUAUUAAAAAAAUUAGAGUGACUUGAAGAAGUUUAGAUUCACUGUAUAUUAUUAUUAUUAUUAUUAAUUACUAAUACAAAUAAAAGUUAAGUAGUAUAAGUAAGGCAUAUAAAAAAUAAUUAUUUAAAUAUUAGUGAGUUUAGCUUACUAAAAUAUUAAGAGAUUCUUUUUUGAGUAUAAGAUAAGAGAUUAAUAAAAGUUAAAUAAUUUUGUUUGUCAACUUAAUUGUAUGACGUGAAUGCAAGCUCAAUCUUAUAGUAUAUAUUGUGUUGGAGAGAAAAGUAUGUUCGAGAGCAUCUAGAUCUUAUAUUUUGACGGAGAUUAAAUGUGUUGUAUUUAUUAGUAAUCAUUGCAUAUAUGAAUUUUUUAUAAGGAAUGGUCAUUGAAUUUGUGCGAUUUUCUUAUAAAUAACUCGCCAGUUGAGACCAAUAAAUAUGUUAAUUUUUUUUUUAAUUUUUCUAAGUAAGAUAAAAAAAUACUCGAUCCACUAUCUAGCUUUGAUUAUGCAUAUGUUUUGUCGAAUGAUUAAUUUUGAAUUUUGAAAAAUAAUCUACUCUUUCUGAUACAAAUAUCUAGAAACUUUUUUAUGAGUGCAACAAAGGCAUAUCAAAAAUAUUCUGGAAAAUACUUUCAUUGUGUGUAUUUGAUGAUAAAUUUAGAAUGAAUGUACUAGAAUCAACUAGUUGAAAACUGUUAUUUCAGACGAAUUCAUCCAGAAAUCAACUCAAGGAGGAGCUGAUUUUUUUUCCUUUACAAAUUAUUUAAAUAAUUUUGAAGGCAGAUUUUGAUUAGAGAGCAUCCACGAUUAACGGAAAUCUGGACUAUAAUCAGAAAUUUGUUACUUUUUAUAAUUUAUUAAAAUUGAGAGCACAUUAGUUAUUUGGUGCGAUUGGGGAUGCAUUUCUUCCUACAGAAUAAUACUACUCUUUUUUUUUAUUCUUUUACGUUUGCAGUUAUGGCAGUAUGCACGUAGGCCAUGGGAAUCAGUUCUUAACCUCAAAGAUAGCCCAGUACAAGAGAUAUGGCUUAGGCUUCACUCACUGCAUAUCCCCCCACACUUCCGCUUCAAGUACUUAGACACCUUGAUUGUGGACGGCUGCCAUUUUUUAUCAGAUGCGGUCUUACCCUUCUCUUUACUUCCUUUAUUACCUAAAUUGAAAACAUUGAAAGUUCGAAACUGUGAUUUUGUGAAAAUCAUAUUUGAUGUGACAACUAUGGGACCACUCCCUUUUGCCCUCAAGAAUUUGAUUUUAGAUGGGCUGCCAAAUCUGGAGAAUGUUUGGAAUUCAAAUGUUGAGCUUACGUUCCCCCAAGUCAAGUCAUUGUCACUGUGUGAUCUGCCAAAGUUAAAGUAUGACAUGUUGAAGCCAUUUACACAUCUAGAACCACAUCCUCUAAAUCAAGUCUCUAUUCAAAAGGUAUCAUUACUACUUGUAUAUAUAUGAACUAAAUUGCCAUCAUUAGUGUUCUUUACUACUUCUAUAUAUAUGAACCAAUUGCAUCCUGUUAAAAUUAAAAAGUUGUGAACCUUUCCCUUAUACAGUUAUAUAUGCUAUGUUGAGUCUUCUAUCCAUCUUCUACGCAUAUUGGCUUCCAUUUUUAUUUUAUUUAUCUACAUAAGUCAGAUAAUACGGCUACAGCUACUAUUCAAUAUUGAUCAUGAUGAAUUUAUAAUGGAACAUGUUGCAUUCAUGAUGUGAAACAGGAUUUGAGGUACGGUCCUUAUUCUCAUUAUUUUCUUCUACAACCUUACUAAUAAUCUCAUUUAUCACUUUUCCCGUCUUAAAAUAUUAAACUCGACAUACGGUGUGAAUAUCCUUUCUCCACCUUAUUCUUUUUAUGGUAUCCUUUUCCACCUUAUAAAUAGUUCAUUAUUUCAAUUAUAUAAAAAGAGCUGGAUCUAUAACUGCCCUAACCUGCUUUUUCUUCAUUGUUGGUUUCUCUUCGUAGCUUACACCCAACAUAGAGCACCUGGCACUCGGUGUGCAUGAACUGAAGAUGAUUUUGCGUGGAGAAUUCCAGGGAAACCACUUAAACAAGUUAAAAGUUCUUGCUCUGUUCUUUCAUACUGAGUCCGAUGUGUUUCUACAACGGGUGCCCAAUAUAGAGAAGCUUGAGGUGCUUGAUGGUUUCUUCACAGAGACUUUCUGCUUUGAUAGUCUUAAUGUGGAUGAGGCUGGAUUGGUUUCACAGCUGAAAGUGAUAUGCUGGGACUCCCUUCCAGAGCUUGUUUCCAUUGGGUCAGAGAACUCUGGGAUUGUGCCCUUUCUCAGAAAUCUAGAAACAUUGCAAGUAGUCAGUUGUUUCAUGAGUUUAAUAAAUCUGGUACCAUGCACAGUGUCUUUCUCCAAUCUGACAUAUUUGAAAGUAAAAAGUUGCAAGAGUCUGCUAUAUUUGUUCACAUCCUCAACAGCAAGAAGUUUGGGUCAACUCAAAACAAUGGAGAUAGGUUGGUGUGAUUCAAUUGAAGAGAUAGUGUCUUCAACAGAGGAAGGGGAUGAAUCAGAUGAGAAUGAGAUAAUAUUUCAGCAGCUCAAUUGUUUGAAACUUAUAAGAUUAGGAAAGCUGAGAAGGUUCUACAAAGGGAGUUUAAGUUUCCCGUCCUUGGAGGAAUUCACAUUAAAGGAUUGCGAGAGGAUGGAAAGUUUAUGUGCAGGUACAGUCAAAACAGACAAGCUGUUACAAGUGACAUUCGAAUGGAGACAUGAUAUCCCAUUGGAAACUGAUCUCAACUCUGCCAUGCAAAACCGAUGGUUAUAUUUCUGACAGGGUAUGUCUUUUUAUUCAACAUUAUUAUAAUUGUUGUUAUCAUACACCGUGUCAGUUAUAUGUUACGUGGCACGAUUAACUUAAAUUUUGAGAAGAGUUUAAUUACCGUGUUUAAUUAUUAUUAUUAUUAUUAUUAUUAUUAUUAUUAUUAUUAUUAUUAUUAACUAGCAUAAUUUUUAUAAAUUGUGUAGGCAAUGACUCCAACAUUAGAGUUAGAGGAGAUUGAUUCACCAAAAAGAAAAUGGUUAGAGGAGAUCAACGAAUUAAGUGGCUUGGUGCCUACCGAAAAAAAAAAAACAAAGUGGCCCAAUUUUAUUAUAUUUGUUUGUGUGUGAAUAAAAAAACAAAUUGUGCGUGUGGUCUACACAGUUAGUGGUGAAAUACACUGUUCUAUUCUAUUUAUUAUGUAAUGUGUGUGAUUAUAAGUCUUAAACGACCCUGGAGAAUAAAAAUGAAGUGAUGAACUGUAAGUUUGUAACACUAAAACUUGACUCUAUUGUUUUAUGACAAAAUAAAAUAAAAAUGUGUCCUAAAUUAUGUAUGUUUACUAUUCAUUUUACUUAUAUUUCAAGAUUCAAAUUCUUCAACAUAAUUCUUGAAAAAAUGUCUUCAGCAUAACUUUGAUUGUGGUAGGAGUUUAAUUAUCACUUUGUCCAUCUCCUACUAUUAGCAUCUAAAGACUGUGUUAGCUUUAAUUUAGUAAAGGCUAACAACGGGAUUGAUUAUAUCUUUGUUGUACUAAAUUGUGAUAAUGAAUUGAAAAUUUUCAUAAUUUAUUGAAAUGUUAUUUUUUUAAUUUUCAUGCGGUGUUAAUAUAGUAUGUCAAGAAAUUGUAACAUUACUAAAAAAAUCAUUUCAAAUAUCAUUUUUAAGUAUUUUUUUACGACGAUUCUCAACCAUCUCUAAAUCUGUGUUGUGAAAAUACUUUUCACCGUGAUUUUUUAAAUUCUAUAAGAAUAUUGAUUUUUACAUUGAUUUUCUUGAAAUUAUUUAGAUUGUAUUAUUUAUUAUUUAAAAAAUGUUAAAAAUAUUAGGAUUCUAAGAUGAUUUAAAAAAAAUUCUAAGAUGAUUUAAAAAAAAAUUCUAAGAUGAUUUUUAGAUUCCAAUGUUGUUUAUUAUUUUAAUACAAAAUUUCAUUAAAAUAAUAAAAUAUAAUUAUAAUAUGAUUAAAAACUAAUAUUUACAGCAAAUAAAUCACAACGUAAACUAUGGACCACAAAUUAUAUAUUUACGCAUCCAAUAUGUGGGAUCCCUAAUGCUAGAUUCCUUUCUAAAAAAAUAUUAAACAUCUAUCAAUUUGUUGUAAAUCAAAUCUAAAGUAGUUUAACACUCUAGGUUUAACAUAUUUCAAUCAAACAAUAGAAUACAACUUUACAUCUUAAAAGUGAUAUAGUUUUAGUAUUUUCAUUAAAAAAAAUUAGAGGAGACGUCUUUGCAUGUUAAAAUAUAAAAGUUAAAAAUGAAUAAUUUUUUUAAAUAAAAUAAAAUUAGUAAUAUUUAAAGGAUAACGAAAUAUUUAAUUCAACCAAACUGUAGUAGUCAUAGCUAAAUUUUUCAGAUUUGAAAUUACUAGGAUUAAACCAUAAUACUUGUUUGUCAUUUAAUCUGUGUGCAUUGAGGUAUCAUAUUGUCUUAUUUCAGAAAUAAAGAAAAACAUGGAAAGAAAAAACUAAUUAAUAUAAAAUACUCGUAACUAAAAAACUGAAGAAAAAUUAGGAUAUAUGCUAUGAUAGUAUUUACACGUGUUAAUUUUAAUUUAUCUAUAUUUUCUAUAGUAAUUAACUUUUGAUCAAAAUAAUGGAAAAUAUUUUUUGAUCAAAAUUGAAAAAUUAAUUAAAAGUUACAAAAUUAAUUUUUUUAACAUGAUCUUGUUAACUGAUUUAUUAAAUUAGAAAUAUUUAAUUAGUAAAUUAACUGUUAAGAUUGCUAGUAAAGACAUAAUAAUAUAAAAGAUAUAUUUAUGAUUUUUAUAUAAAAUUUUAUUGACUUUGUGCCGCAAUGAUGACAACACGUUCCCAUCUCUAGAGAAUGGAUAAGCCAUCCUGGACAAAUUUUAAGCGUAACAUUAUAUUCAUAAGUAACUAACUAGAGAAAUUAAAUCCCUGUCAUAUGGAAAAUGCACUACGGGAAGGUAAUAUUAUUAUUAUUAUUACUAAUUGAAAAAUAGAUAUUCUGUGUCUUAUGUCUUAAUUGUUUUUUUAGUUGGAUGUAGGUGUAAUAAUUAUCCUUUUAAAAAGUUAUUAAAUAAUAAUUACUUAUAAUUUGGGAGUGUUUUUUAAAGUAAUACAAGAAUAAAUUAGGAAUAAUAACAAAUGUAUAUAAAAACGAUUACCUUUAUUAAUAAUUAUAAAUUUACCAUGAAUUGCUAAGGACCGAAGUCAAACCACAGAAACAGCGACAACUAGCAAGCAAAUAAUGCCCCCAAUUCCAUGGGCGUAUCUUCUCUUGAAAGGCAGAUAAAACAUUUGAGCAAUGGCAUACCCACCAACUAUAAUAGAUAUCCCAACUUCAAAAGGUAAGGGAUGUUAGUAACUGCAAAGCUAAUGCCUAGUAUGUAAUCCCAUCCAACUAUAAUAUAGAUAUCCCAACUUUGCUGAUUAUUCCUUUUGGUCCAUUUCUGUCUGCAAAUGCAAGUUAAUUUGUAGUAAACAGAAAGUCUUCUUGGUCUAAAUCAUAUGAGCUGAUGCAUCAUACCCAAUUAUGGCAUAUUGACUCUGUUAUGAAAUUGAGGCGGUAAACAUUGGUGAAAUUUAUACUAAUGAGCUUAGAGUAAUCACAUAGGUAUACCUCAACCACAUUUUAACUUAAAACCUUAAUUAUAGAUUUUUUUUCUUCUUUUUCAUUUCUAUCGGAUGUAAGAUUUCAGCUCAUAGUUACACUUCAAGACACUCAUUAGUAAAAUAUGUUGGGUUUUGUGCUUUCAUAUUGAGUCCAAUGUAUUUCUGCAACAGGUAACCAAUUUAGAGAAGCUUGUGAUCCUUCGUGGUUCCUUCAAGGAGACUUUCCACUUUCCAGAGCUGAAAGUAUUACCUUUGGAGUCCCUUGGAAAGCUGGCUUCCAAUGGUUCUGAGAAUUCUUGGAAGUAUUCAUCUGUUUUAGUUCAAUAAAUUUGGUACCAUGCAGUGUGUCUUUCUCCAAUUUGACAUAUUUCGAAGUAGAUAGUUGCAAGAACAUGCUAUAUUUGUUCACAUCCUCAACAGCCAUAAGUUUGACUCAGCUUAAAACAAUGAAGGUAAGAUGCUGCAAUUCAAUUGAAGAGAUAGUGUCUAAGAAGGGGGAUGAAUCAAAUGGUGAUGAGAUAAUAUUUCAGCAGCUCAAUUGUUUGAAACUUAAAGGAUUACCAAAUCUCAGAAGCUUCUACAAAGGGAAUUUAAGUUUCCCAUCCUUGGAAGAAUUGUCGGUAAUCCAUUGCAACAGGAUGGAAACUGUGUCCAGGUACUGUAAAAACAGACAAGUUGUUAGAUGUUCAAUUUCAGAGGUUCUCAGAUGCUAUCCCAUUAGAAAAUGAUCUCAGCUCUACCAUGCGGAAGGAAUAGCCUAAUUGAUCCUUCGUCCAAGUAAUUUGAAGCACGAGAUCUUCAUUAGCUUACAUAUAGCAUCCAAUAUUUCAAAGCCGUCACAGAACUAUUGUCAUUUAAAGCUUCAACUGCACUGCUUUCAACCACAUAUCCACAUAAUCUUUUAACCCAAAUCCACUGCUAGGUCUUAGAAUUUGCUUGAACAAUGCCUUUUUGGGAACAUUCCAGUGCUCCACAUGCCUGAAACUUUUUCAUAGAUAUUUAGAUCAUUGCCAAAAUAAUAGCACUGAAAGGUAGAAACAUCAAACAUGUGCCUUCACAAUUGACAGUUUUUAUCACCUGCAUACUUUUUCCAGAUUGUGCAUCAAAGUAGUAUUUUGUGUAUCCAGUUGCUGCAGCAUAUAUCAACAUGGUCAGAUUGAAUUGCAUAUAGUAUGAAUUAUGCUAUUUUGUCUCUGUUAAAUGAGCAUUUUUCUGAAGACAACUAACUGCCUCUAAUUCUACUAGAAUACAGAACCAUGUUUAUUAGCCCUUGCAACCAAUAGUAUAAAAAACACAAGAAAGCAGAAGGAUCCAGUGAAAUGCAGAUAAAACAUACAACAAAUAUUUAUAGUAAUAUGAGACCGGCUAGGAAAUUUUGGCCUUCCACGGUUCAACUAAUGGAAUAUACACUGAUAAGCUCGAAAUGUACCAGAAAGAAUGGGCUUCCAAGGAAAGGACAAGAUACAGUUGAAUCGCCAGUGUCCAAUUCCUCUAUCCUGUCAUGGAACCAUAUCUAUUAAAACACUAAGCUUUCUGUAGAAAGAGUACAACAUGCAAUGAGCACAACAUGCUCUUAACUAGGACUAUUACUUGCAAAACUAAAUUUAGGAAAGGAAUAAAGUUGUAUCAAAAGUUUCUUCACUUCAAAAUCUUCCCACUUCAUAAGCUGCAUGUUUGAGUUCUCCAGAUGGGAUCCAAAAUUAGUUCAGUUCCUUUUGAGUCGCUGAAGCCCUUUAAAUGAGCCUGCAGUACUGGAAGUACACUUCAAGUAUGGCCCUUUUCUGCUAGUCUUCAUACACAUUUAAUGUCAGAUCUCCUGAUGAAAGAACAUACUCCGGUACUGGAAGUACACUUCAAGUAUGCCCCUUUUCUGUGUAGUAAUUCCUAUCCUCCACACUCUCCCCUGAUAAGUUGAGUGUAGUGAUAUAAGACUAACAGUGAUAAUCUCUCUGCCUGUACCAAGUUGCAUCAGGGGAGCUAGCAACAAUUUGUAGUACAAGUCAUCAAACCUUGUAGAUGCAUAAGGAUUAAGGAAAUCAUGAUGCUUUUCCCUUUGAUUAAAAUAAGACAAGAAGCCAAGGUUACUUAGAAGGGUUCAAAUUUUAUAAGGAGGGCUUUAGUAAACACUCGUAAGUCAUUUAAUUUUAUAGAGGGACUGUACCAUAGAGCUUAUCAACCAAUCAGGAUCAGCCAAGGAUAAAGUAAUUAUCAAAAUAAAUUAUUUGCUAUUAAAUUUUAUGAAGCAAAAAGGUCACAUAUGUUCACAUUAAGGUCAUAUACACAACUCUCGUUUAGGGUCUGUUUGAUAGAGAUGUUAGAGAGGAGAGAAUUACGAUGAAUAGAAAUUAAAAAAAAAAAAGUAAAAAUAGGCGAGAAAAAAGUGAAAAUUAAAUGUAUUUAGUUGAAAAGAAAAAAAAAAUAAGUGAGGAGAAAGAUAGAAAAAUGAACAAAAAUAUGUGACAAUAGUAUAGUAGGUCUCAUCAUUUUUAAAAUUAUUUUCACCUUUUCAUCCACUUUUUUCCCCUAAUUUUUCAGUGCCUCACAUACCAAACACAAGUUAAAGUAAAGUCCCUCAAAAUUUUCUUUAGGCCAUCCCUGCAACCAAAUAGACCACUACGUACUAUCAUCUUUGCAAAAAAAAAUGUAACCUUCACUUGCUAAAAAAAUAUUCUUAAUUUACAUGCCAACAGAAUAUAUACAAAGGAGGGAGAUCAGUUAGAUUACUCAAAGAUAUUCAAUGAACGACAAUCACUUAUAAUCUCAAUAAAAUUUGUGUUUAUCAUGCAAGCUAUAGAAGUGCAUUGUUAUGUGAUUCCGAGUCUUUUAUUCGGAUUAGUUCCAGUGCAUCGAAACCUGUGGAUUCUAAGGUGCUGCAGCUUCUGUUGUUUCGGUGGAAAAAUCAAAGAGCUAUGCUGACUUCUCUUGAAUGAAGUCAAGGCAGUUAGUGCCAUGACACAACACAACACAAGACAGUGUGAGAGAAUCAAAGUGGCAGUUGCUGGUUGUUACCUACGGUUUGUUUAAACAUCUAAGCUUCAAACUAAUGAUAGCCAUACAAAAACAGUUUUUUUUUUCUUUUUUCUGGUCGCGGGAAUCACCAACCAAGCAUAGUUGGAAGUUAAAUUUCAACUAUUUUAAUCAACUCUAUUUUAGCAUGUAAAAUAUAAUAUACAAGAUAAAGAUUUUUUUUUUUUAAGAUUAGCAGAAGUAGAUUGAGUCUCCAGCCCUCAACAUGCAUGUUGGUGCGCGUAGGCGAAAUGAUGACAAAUAGGAGUAAAUUUUAUAUUAACACCAAAAAAUGAGUAAAUCCUAAGAUAUUUCACGAAAUACAAAAUGGUAAACUAAUUUAAGCCUUUUGAUGAUGACACAACUCAACACCCUCAAAGACAAGGUCACAAAAAACUCAUGAAACGAUGUGCUUGCCCACUAGCCUCUUUACUUCUCCUAGCAAUAGUAAUCAUAGUUUUAAUCUUCACAAUAUUUCGUGUCAAGGGCCCCAUGAUCACAAUGAACACCAUCAAGAUCACAAAGCUCCAACUGGUCAACACCACCAUGGUGUCUUGUUGAGGGAGGCUAGAGGACCACCUGGGAGGGCCAAGGCCAGAAGAACAUUGAGGAUGAAUGUCACAAUUGAUGUCAUCACGGAUCGCGUCGUUUCUAGCCCGGAUUUUGCAACGCGAUUUAGGUUCGGGGCUGUUGACUAUGAGCAGCUUCUCUAGAGUUCCUGGGCAGGUGAAGAUCUUGAACUUGAUAUUUCCACACAGGCUAUUAAGGAGCAGAGUUGUAAGCGGAAGGUUAAACUUUAGUGAUCAUGUGUAAUGUGUUAGUUUAUUUUCUUUCCUCCACUUUGUAUCAUCCAUCCAAAUUACUAUAUUAGUUUAGUUUAUCUUAGUUUCCUUGAAUAUACUUGCAAAAUUACUGUACCGAAAAUAAUGAGUGUUUACUUUCUUCUAGACAAAAGUUAAAUUGAUCAAAAUCCCUCUGUUUUGAAGAGUUGAGAUUUCAUAUUAAAACAAAUACAAUUUGCCUGUAACUAUUCUCGUAUGUUUUUUAUUUUAUUUUGGGUAAGUCUUGCGUUCCAUCAUCUUUAGCUAAGGGGAUGAAAUAGAAUGAGAGAAUUUAUGAAUAGGUUGUGGUGUGUUAUCCGAAGAAUAAUGCUACGAAUUUUCAUAAAAGUGGAGUGUUGCCUAAUUUGGAACCAUGCAGAGUGCCUUUCUCCAAUUUGACAUUUUUGGAAGUAAAAAAUUGCAACACUGCUAUAUUUGUUCACAUCCUCAACACCCAAAAUUUUGAGUCAACUCAAAAAAAAAAAGGAAAUAAGUUGGUGUCAUUCAAUUGAAGAGAUAUUCUCUGAGGAAGGGUUGAAUCACAUGAGAAUGAGAUAAUAUUUCGGCAUCUCAAUUGUUUGAAACUUAAAGAAUUACCAAAGCUCAUAAGGGUAUUAUGUCACUAAUGGAUUGCGAUUGGAUGGAAACUUUCUGGCAAGAGUAUGUCUUUUUAUUCAACAUUAUUAUAAUUGUUGUUAUAAUACACCGUGUCAGAAAUUUAGUUUUAUGAGUAUGUUAUAUGAUAAGAUUAAUUUAAAUUUUGAAAAGGGUUUAAUUACCAUAUUUAUAAUUAAAUUCAAAAAAUUUCUAUCUUUCGUUGUCUUUGUCAUAGUCGUCAUUUUAUUAUUAUUAACUAACGUAACUUUUAUAAAUUGUUUAGGCAAUGACUCCAAUAUUGCAGUUAGAGGAGAUUGAUUCACAAAAAAAAAAUGGUUAGAGGAGAAUGAUGACAAAGAGAGUUGACGGAGAUGAACAAAUCAAGUGGCCCAGUGCCUAGAGGAAAAAAAAUUACCAACUUAGCUUUGACCAAUUUGCACGCUCAUUUGACUCUUACGAAUUUUCAUUUUAAAAACUUGAUGUUGUGACUACUUUGUAAUGUCAUUCAUAUUGGGAAAAUCAUCCUCUUGCAUACAAAUUUUCUCUCCGUUUCUACAACUAUUAGUAGUAUACUAUUGCACUCUCAAUAAACUUGAGAAAAUAAAUUUUAAACAUAUAUAUUCAACGUAUUGAGCAAAAGAUAGAUUUUUUUUUAAAAAAAUUAUAAUAGAUGUGGUAAGAAAAACAAAAAAAAAAUUAUAGAUAUAAAAAUGAUAUAAGAAGAUGAAAGUUGAAAUUAUUAAAGAAAAAAAUUGAUGAUGCGAUACCAAAUUAAAAAAAAAAAAAACCCUUUCUCCAACUAGAAUUUAGCUCUUCUAGAUAAAAAAUAAAUUUCAAUUAUAGAUGAAAAAAUUAAUAGUUGAUAUUCUAACACAUUACCAUAUGACCAGAAAUUACUUAUUAUAUUCUCUUAUUUACCUAACAAAUCUCUACACAUAUUAACAAAGAUAAAAUAAUUACUUUUGUCCUUCAAUAUGUAAUCAAAUUCGCUGAUAAAUAUGUCUCUAAAAGAUAAAAAUACAAAACUUAAUUUCUGAAAGUGUAAAAAGUACAACAAAUAUGUUUUGUCAUUAACUUUUGUCCGUUAAUAAAAUAACUUACGUGACACAAAAGGACAAAUUUGUCAUUGAAAUGAUUAUCAACAUAGAUUGUCAGCAUAUAGACAUAUUUGUAAUAAUAUUUUUUUGGUUUUUUGUCUUCCAAUUCCGUUGACAAAUACAUCCCUAAAUAUAAAAAUGUAAAAUUUAGUUUCGGAAAGUAUAAGAAGUCCGACAAGGAACGUUAAUAAUGAAUUGUAUAUGAGAGAAGCUAUGAAAAAAGAGAUUGAAAACAGUAAAAUACAACAUAAAAUUUGAAUUUUUAUACUUUGAUUAUUUAUCUAUUUAUCUAUCUAUCAAAUUGUUAAUUAUUUUUUUUAAUUAAUCAAUAUAAAUACUUAUUUUCCAAAAUAAAAAAAAUCUUUAGUUUUAUGAUAUAAAAAAAUCGAGUUACCAUUUGAAAAAAUAAAAGUCUUUUAUUUUUUAAAAUUUUUUGUUUCUUCAAUUAAUUAUUAAUCUUUAUUAUGCACUAUGCAUAGUAUUCAAAUGAAAUGUAAGGUCGUUACAACACCUAAAUCAGCGAGAGAUACAACUCUACAUCCCAAAGGCAAAGAAUAAACUUCUGUAUUAAUUUUUUUUGUUUUAAAGUUGACAUUUGUAUUAAUUUGAGCAUUAUUGUAUUUUUUAUUUAGAUUUAUUUGGUUUCUUUAUCUGUUAGUAACUAUUUUCAUUUCAUAUUAUGUAUAAUAAGUGUUGUAUCGAAUGGAAGCACAUAAGGUUUAUCCAAGAGAUUUUUUCAUAUUUGAGAUGUAUAUAUAUAUUAUCAAUUAAGGAAAAUGACUUAUAAUUUCACUUUAGUUUUAUCUAGUUUAAAUUUUGUGAUAUUUUUUUAAAAAAAAAUUAGUUGAUUAAAUUCUUUUUUAAAAUAAAUAAAUUUAAUCUCGUGGUCGAUUGUAUUUUUUAUACUCAAAAUUCUCGAUAUAUUAUUUUCAAUCUAGAUAGGAGGACAGUUAAGUUGAAAUUGUAAUAUAGAAUAAUUUUAAAGAUUAAAAGUGAAAAAUUUAGUAAAAAUUUGAUAAAAUUAUAAGAUAUAAGAUAAAAAAAAUUUUAACAACAAAGAUAUAAUUAAGGUUUGAGAAGGAAAUAAGCUAAUAGAAAUAUAUAUAUAUAUAUAUAUAUAUAUAUAUAUAUAUAUAUAUAUAUAUAUAUAUAUAUUAAAAGGAAAUUUAAAAAAUAUAUUGCAUAGUUAACAAAUAAGAGUAGUAAAUUAUAAACUAAUAAUAAUAAUAAUAUGGAUUAUUAAUUUAACGUAUGUCGUCCCCUAAUCCCUCUUUUAUUUAGAAUUUAGAAUUCAAGGGAAUGUUUGAUUAAUUAUUAUAAUUUAAGAAAAAAAUUUAGUCUUGAUGGGACCCGAGAGUAACCAAUGUGCAGGCAAGGCGUAAAAUAAUGGAAGGGGACGCUCCAUCAGGGAUAAUAUAUAUAAAGUAGCUUCCUUCUUCAUAGUUUACUAUUUACUUUUCUUUUAUUUUUCUGUAGAUAUUCCCCAACUUGGAGUGUUUGGUUAUUGACUUUGACGAAGCACAGAAGUGGUUAUUGAGCAACACUGUGAAGCAUCCAAUGCACCGUUUAAAAGAGCUUAGGUUAAGCGAAGUUAAUGAUGGUGAACGUCUCUGUCAAAUUCUGUACAGAAUGCCAAAUCUAGAAAAGUUAUUAUUGUGGGAAGCUAAACAUUUGCUUAAAGAGUCGUCGGAGUCACGUUUGGGAACCGUAUUACAGCUGAAGGAAUUGGUUUUGUCGUUGUCAGGAAUAAAGGAUAUAGGAUUUGAACGAGAACCAGUUCUACGGAGACUAGAGCUUUUGAGCUUAUUUGCGUGCAAGAAAUUGAGGAAUUUGGCUCCUCCCUCGGUAUCAGUGGCUUACUUGACAAAUUUGAAUGUAAAGUAUUGUAAUGGAUUAAGGAAUUUAAUGGCAUCCUCAACGGCAAAAAGCUUGGUUCAACUUAAGUCCAUGAAGAUAAGCGGAUGUGAUGAAUUAGAGGAAAUAGUAAGCAAUGAGGGAAAUAAAGAAGAAGAGCAAAUAGUGUUUGGCAAAUUGAUUACUAUAGAACUUGAGUGGCUAGGAAAGCUGAAAAGUUUUUGCAGUUACAAGAACUGUGAAUUCAAAUUCCCGUCAUUAGAAGUAUUGAUUGUGAGAGGAUGCCGAAUAAUGCAAAGAUUCACGGAGGGUGGCGCAAGAGCACCAAAGUUACAAAACAUAGUUACUGCUAAUGAAGAAGGAAAAGAGGAACCCAAAUGGCAAGUAAUCAGUUGUUUGAGUUCAAUAAAUCUGGUACCAUGCACAGUGUCUUUCUCCAAUCUGACAUAUUUGCUAGUACAAAAUUGCAAGAGUCUGUUAUAUUUGUUCACAUCCUCAACAGCAAGAAGUUUGGGUCAACUCAAAACAAUGGAGAUAAGUGGGUGUGAUUCAAUGGAAGAGAUAGUCUCUGAGGAAGGGGAUGAAUCAGAUGAGGAUGAGAUAAUAUUUCAGCAGCUCAAUUGUUUGGAACUUGAAGGAUUAGGAAAGCUGAGAAGGUUCUACAAAGGGAGUUUAAGUUUCCCGUCCUUAAGAGAAGAGAUUGAGAGAAUAUAUAAAAAUUGAGCUGCUGAAAUAUUGUUCACCAUUCAUAUAGGAAAAGAGACUGAGAGAAUAUAUAAAAAAACAAAAAAAAAAUUCUCAUGAUUCAUCUCACCUUAAGAUUAUUGAGAUUAUGUUCAAUUUUUGACACACCAUUAAGUUUCACCAUAACUUAUGAAGUUAUAUGAAGGAAAGUGAUGUAAAUAUGUUCUUUUGUGUUAUUUUACUCUUGUCCAUUACUUCAAAAAUUAAUUAUAUCAAAUACUUUUAAUUUAAUUAAUUUGUAAGUGUAAGCUUUCAGUUGAAAGCGUGGAAAGCAUAUUUGGUAAUACUUUUUUAACUACAUGAAAAAUUAUUUUACUAGCUAAAAAAUUUGUAUAAACAAUCUCUAAGUAGUGUUCCAUCUUCUUAUCUCUUAGUUGAAAAUGUUUUCUUCUCAUUUUUAUUUCUAAUGUGUUAUUUUUUUUUUCACAAUCUCUAGUUUACCCGUUUAUAUAUUUUCAGAAAUGUAAUAGCCUCUCACAUUCGAUACUUCAAGUGCUUCCUUCAACAUGGUUGAUGAGAAUGAAUCUUUGAAGACCAGAAGAAGAUUAUUGCCAGCAAACCUCAGCAAUUUUAUAAAAGAAAUAGCAAUUGAAAAAUGAAAAGCAUUGCUUCCUUGGGCAAAGUUUUUACAGUAACUGCCAGAUUGGGGGACCAUUAUGUCAAGUAAUAAGGAUUACUUGCAUGGUACUCACUGACUCCCGAUCUUUAAUUGGUGAGGAAAGUCGCGUUUCUUUCGCUAUAUAUAAUUAUUUUACGUGUGUGGAAAAAGGGUAUAAAAGCAAUGAAAUGUUUUUAAUACAUUAUGGUAUGUUUAAUAUAUUUGAAAGAUAGAAAAUUAAUGGAGCAUUCUCCUGUUAGAGACUAACAGGAUAAAUAUAUGAGAUAAGUGCCAAAGCUAGAACACACGGAUAUCUAAGACUCGAGAAUAUAAUACUAUUUUUUAUUAAUUAAGAUCAUGAAUUCAUGGUCCUUAACGUGAAUGAUUUCUCUUAAUUUUUUUAAAAAUAAAAGUAUGAAGACACUAUCAAAUUAAAUUAAGGAUGAUAAUUGUUAAAGGAGUAGGUAUCACACAAAUACCAAUAUAUAUUUACUCCAGGGGAGAUGAUAUGGCCGCAUAUUUGGUGGAGGAUCGCAGAUGACAGUGAUAGUCACAAUAUACAGUAGUCGUAUAGCAAACAAGCACACGAUACUAUGAUGCGGAUUGCAACAUGACAGGUAUAAGAGAUUACACAACUAUUCAAAUAUUCAUACAAUAAGUUAACUAUUUUAUAAUACUGUUUAGAAAUUGUUCACCAUUCAUUUUACUUAUGUUUCAGCAGGAAAAGAGAUUGAGAGAAACUUAAACUCCCUUUGUAGAACCUUCUCAAUCUCUUGAAAAAAUGAGAUAAUAUUUCAGCAGCUCAAUUGUUCACCAUUCAUUUUACUUAUGUUUCAAAAUUCAAAGUCUUCAACAUAACUCUUGAAAAAAUGUCUUCAACAUAAUAGUCGGAAUUUACCACUUUGUCCAUCUCCUACAAUUAACAUCUGAUUGUUAGCUUUAUUCAAAGGUCAACAUCAGGAUUGAUUAUAACUCCAUUGUACUAAAUUAUGAUAGUGAACAAAAAAUUCCAUAAUUUAUUGAAAUGUCAUUUUUAAUUAUUAUUUUCAUGCGGUGUUAGUAUAGUAUGUCAAGAAAUUGUACCACUAGUAAAAAAAUAAUUUAUAAUCCACACUUAACAACAGUUUUGAAGUUAUUAUUAGUAGGUGUUGCAUAAAAUAUAUGAUGGAAGGCAGCAGCCAGACGGCGUCUAAGCAAUGCUAAAAACAUCUUUACUUGAUGACCGCACAGUGCCACCAUUAAUACUUCACAUUGCUCUUAAUUUCUAUUAGACUUGCCAUCUACUUCUAUCAUUCAAACACAUCAUAAACUUAUUGUGUAUGGAUACUCAAAAUUAAAAAGGUACUUUUUAGGGUGUUCACACUCCUUCAUGCAUACAGAAUGUUGCUCAAAAUUUUGUCAUAAAACGCUAGGUAUCUAAAAACUAUUAAAAUAUAUUAUUUAUAUUUUAAUAUACAUUUAUUUAUUAACAUUUCACUUAAAUAAAAUCAUAUUUAUACUCCAUUUCUUAAAAAAAAAUGUUAUAAAAGUUAUACAUCUUAUGUUUUUUAAAUUACCUUACGAUUAACAAUUUACUAAACAUAAAGUUAAUUUUAUAAUAAUUAAUUAUGAAAAAAAUACUACCUCUACUCUUUUUUAUUUGCAUCGCUUACAUAUUUUGUCUAAUCAUCUUAGUUAUGUUUCUUGGUAUAUUACCUCUAUUCACGAGUCUACGUCAAUGCCGCUUUCAGGAUUUGACUUUACAUUUUCAAACGUGGAUUCGACACUAGUACACACGCUUAAGUGUUUAUUUACUCCAGAUUAUUGAAUAAUUUAGAUGUAAUUGAAAUAUAAUUUGUGUACUAAGACAUAAGUUAGUUAGUGUUUGGAAUACAAUUAAUUGAAAAAGUGAAAUUUGAUUAUUGAACUUAACUUUAUAAAUUUAAAUUUAGUUAAUGUAGAUUUAAUGUAAUUUUGAUUUAUGUUUGGACUUUUUUAUGUAUAACGGAAAAGCUAGGAGAACAAUAACUUUAAGAAAAAAAAUCUCAAUUUGGAUGAAAGUUUCAUUUAAUUCAAUUAGAAAAAGUUUAGAAAAAGUUUUGUUAAACGAGUAGGUGUAACUUUUCAUCAACAUCGAAUUUUAGUUUGGGUGUCAUACACCAUUGAAAGUCUUAAUUAUGAACGUUAUUAAAAAAAUAUAACUUUUUUCUGUAAAAAAAUAUAGCUUUACUUUUAUUAUUUCUUCAAUUGAAUGUGGAUUGUGUUAAUUGAAAUGAAUUUUACAUAAACUGGUAUGAUGUUUGAAGUUUCUUAACCAAAAACAUUGUCGUUCUUUUUAACUGAUACACCUCAAACAUAGGAUAAAUUUCGCCUGCCAUGCAACUUCCGACGGUUUUGGAUAUAGUUCGAAAAACUGUCAAAAAUGUCUUUUGUCAUGUAAGUUUUGGCAAUUUCAAAUUGGUACAGAAAAUAUUGCUAAAAAAUGUCAAUCAAAGCUAUAUUGAUUGUUUAUUAAUUUAUGCUUAAACUAGUGAGGAAAUAGAAUAUUGGUAUGAUACUCAUAUUCUUUUAUUUCUUUCCCCCCACCAUUUCCUCACCAUUUAUUUUUUACCAGUCAUACUCGUAAUUCCUCUGAAAGUGUAAGUGCUGCUUGAGUCUCUUUAAAUGAAUAUUCUUAUAUUAGUAUGUUAGGAUUUGAAGGCUUUUCCUAUCUUAAAUCGAGCUAUAUUUCCCUAAAAUCUUAAUUAUAUAUAAAAACAACAACUUUAAUUUAGAGCAAUUUUUGGCUUCACUUUUAACUUUUGCUCAGUACGCAUCGCGAAUUUGGUCCUAAUUUUUGUUUUGUUGGGGACUACUUUAAAACAAAAAGAAAAUUCUAGAAUUUGACAUUCUCUCUGACUUCAAAAAGGUGGAACAUGGCAAGUAUAUGGAUUCAUCAGCACAGUCAGGUAAAGCUACACAUUCAGCAACUUGGAAAUUGUAAAUAAUUUAUUAAAAUACAACUGGUUUGAAAGAAACAUAAUUUGUUUUUCUAACUAGCGCUCCUUGUGCCCUUCUUAAUCUAUAUGUAUCUAUAUCUUUUUAAUCUGUUUUCGAUCAACUUUUUCUCAAUAGAUUUAUUAAAAUACUAUUGUUUUAGUAUGCUAAAAAAGUUUCAAAUUGUUCAAGAAUCAAGAAAAAAAUAAUUUAUAAAUAUUCUCUUUGUUUCAAAGGUUUAUUCCUUAGCUGGGUAUACUGGUAUAGCCUUCAUAUAUAGUGACGUUCCUUUUAGGAUUUUUAAAAGUUCGAUCCUUCUGAUUUGUAUCUUUUUUUAGCUCUUCUGGGAGUUUCCUCAGACUGUUUUCCCCUGUGGGGUUUGAGGUGUUUUUAUCUAUUUUUUGUCUUAAAAAGAUAAAAAAGAAGCAAGCAAACACUAUAAUAUAGGAGGCAUUUUAAACCAAAUCUAAGAACCGGUUUUUUCAUGGUGAGAAGAACCAAUCUUCGUAUUUUCGAUUAUCUGAGCUAAAAUAUAGGAGGCAUUUUAAAAGGCAAUUCCUAUUCCAAAAAAACCAAACAGUUACAUGACAAAAAAUAUAUGUAUGACUUAUUUAUAUAUUUUGAAGUUUUGAUUUAUUAGUUAGCUUCUCAGUAUGUCAGGUAGAACUUUUUCACUUGACUUGCAUAGAUGAUGCUUGUAUCAACCCAAAACUGAAGUAUUGUUGGGGUCUAAGCUCGAUCUGGUGACAAGUACAUUCUUUACCCUUAGACACUAUAUAGUCAUUCCAUAUGGAUAAGGAUGACAAUUUCUUAGAUUCUAUUUGGAAACGAAAAGGAUGUCCUAUUGUCUUAACCGAUAGAUAACAUUUUUGUCAUUCUAGAUGCAAGAGAGUCAGUGGCCAAGGAAUCUUUUGAAAACUCCUUCCACUGGCUUACUACUAGUGAGUCUGAUGAUUUGACUGCUUCAUUUAUGUCCCUCAAUUAUCGUUUUAUGACUUGUUUAUGCCCAAAUGAACUCGUUUCGUGAAAUAAUCUGGUGCUUGAAACUGCUUAAAUUCAAAUUCCAUGCUCGUGGUGUUUAAUUUGCCUAAUUAUUUUUCUGUUGACACAUUUCACUUCUGGAGAUGAUCAAGUAUUUCUGUUUAAACUUACAAAUAAUUUCCCCUGUAUUUUUCUACAACAAGCUGUUUGUGUUAAUUAUGAUGGUGAAUGUUGUAUACUUUGUCUUCCCAAAUGCAGUACAAUAUAAUCUUAAUUGUUUACAUGCAUGCUGCCCCACCCCCUCUCCUUUUCCUUAAUGAUGGAUCAUCUAAAGUGUGGAUGUACCGUGAGACAAUGAAAAUAUAAAUUACAAUGAUGAGAACAUGGAAGGAACAGUGCUCAAUCGAGCUAGAAGACCUCCUUGAUGGUAAAUCCAUAAUUUGUUAACAACGCUCUGUAUUUGAUCAGAAGUUAAAUGAUUUUUUUAUUCCAAUUCUAAGUUGUGAUUUAUUGAUCCACUUUAGACAUUCUAAUCCCUAAAAUGACAUCAUAAUUCUGAAAACCUGUAUCUAUUUAUUUUCUUGAUUUUUUAUUAUAUUUGCUUUAGUAUUGACAAGAUUAUACAAAUGUUUCUUAUUUUUAUAUGAAAUAUGUAUAUUUUUAUAUUGAAGUUUUUCAAACAUUAGUCUAUCCUCUAGUAAAUAUGUACUUACACAAUUUGAAUGUACCGAUACAACACUUCAAGUAUGGGUGCCCACUGUCCACAUGUACCCGGUAAAAAUUGAAAAAAAAAAAAACGAAUCAAAAAUUGAAAUUUUAAUAAAUUAAAAAUAAAAUAAAAAUCAUUCUUUUUAUUAAGUUGGACUGGGUUUCAUAUUUGAUUUUAAACAUCAAUCCAAAGAGAAUUUAUACAUAUACACAUAUAUUUUUGUUUAUAAAUUUAUGGCAUUGCUCUCUCUCUCACAGGCACACAAAUAUAUAUAUAUAUAUAUAUAUAUAUAUAUAUAUAUAUAUAUAUAUAUAUAUAUAUAUAUAUAUAAUUAAAGAUAAUUUUUAAUAACUAUUUGAGUAAAAUAUAUAAAUAUAAGACUUGAAUAUGUUUUUACUCUCGAAUUUGUUAUCAUUUUGUUUGUCCUCUAUAUUUAAAAUUUAAUUGUUUUUUCCUAUGAUUUGUGUGUCUUUGUUAAAUUUAAUAAAUAUAUUAUAAAUGUUUCAAAAAUAUUAUAUUAAUAAUAUUAUUCAAAUUAAUUAUAUUAUUUUUAAAAUAUAAUGAAUAUCACUAUUAAAUGCCUAUAUAAUUUUUUCUUUUGGUAAAAAUGUUUAUACAAAUAUUACAUUAAUAAAAUAUUAUAUUUUUCUAAAAAAAAUUAUUAUACUUGUUUAAAGUCUAAUUUACUUGGGUAAUUAUUCUAAAAGAUUAAUAGAUGUGCAUGAUUAUCAUAAAGAGAUAAAUUCUAGAGACAUUUGGGAGUCAAUUUCUGAGGCCCUAAUAAUAAUUUACACUUAUGGACCAACAAUCCAACAUUCUAACGACUUUCAUAGAACAAGAUAAUUAAAUAUUAGAUGACCAUCUAAUUUACUUAAACAUAAAAACAUAUACCCAUUUCUUUCAUCGCUUUUCUGUCUCAGCUGGAUAUUCUUUUUUUUAUUCGUCAUAGCACUAACUACCUCUCAAUUUCUCCCUCUUGUUUUUUUCUUUUUUCUAUGUCUCAUUUUCUUCCAUCCCAACACACCCCAAAAUGGAAUCCCAAAAUGGAAUGCAUCUUUGGCAUUUCCACUUCUUCAAUAGGCUCCGUGUCAAACCAACUUCUUUGGAUGUCAAAGACGUCCUCAACAGGUUCAGUGCCUGAGCAAAAUAGGCACAAUAAUGAACAUCACUUCUAAAUUGAAAAGGGCAUAUAUAGAGGGUAACAUGGAAGAAGUAUUGACCAAAUUAAGACAAAUGCAGACUAAAUCUAUUAAUAUGAAUCAAAUAUUCUUAAAAAAAAUAUCGUGGCAGUGCCAAGAGUGGAUUGCUAAUAUUAUUACCUCAUGUGACUUCCUGAUUUCCACCAUAUGUUCCUUCAAAUCAUCAAACUUGACAUUCCCCAGCUCUUGCAUAUACUGAAUGCUAGAAGUAGUUGUCAAUUGCCUCACUUUCAGAUCAUCGCUCACAACAAAUAGACACGGCCUCUUCAUAAAUCCCACAGCAGCUUCUCUUGCUCCAUCAUAACAUCUUGGCUCAAAAAGUUUCAGUUUUGCUGGAUAUUGUAACAUUUCUUUUUUCUUUGAAAUCAUUGUACGCCCCUCAUUAUUAUCUUUCACUACCACAGUGCCAUACCAAUACGUAGGAGUGUAUUCUUGUGAAGCAUUUAGUGGAUUGCUCCCACAACCAAAUUGAGGAGCGACCCUUGGAUUCAGUAAGGAUUUGUUUGAUGACCCUAUGAACCAUGAUGCAUUGAGCUUCUUCACACUCGCGUACAAGUUAUCAAUGCUUCCCAACGAUGAUUUGCCAUUCAUAAGGUUCAGAAUAGAUCCAAGAGGUGUUGUGAGGAAGCUGACUAGAAAAUCAACGAAAUCUCCAUCUGCUUCAGCAAACAGAACCUUGUUCUUUGAUUUGCUCACCAUUAGCUUGAUUUCUACAGAACCUUUCCAAUGACUCGGGCCAGUAUCGGGUGAGAAAGAGUACGAUGGCUCAAUUUUUUUUCUGUUUGGAAUGAAUACAUCACUUAGUGGAGAUUUGGAGGUUAAUGCGUGCUUUAAUAUGCUAAAUAUCUGAACAAGGAAGAAAAAAAAAGUAAGAACAAAGCAAGUUUUAAUUCAUCAAACAAGGAAAUUUCAUACCAAUACCAAAGUAUUCUGUAAAGGAAAGGUCUUGCAAAUCUACAACUUUACAUACAUACAUACAUGUCAUAAGUGCAAGUCACAAAAAUGUUUUGAAUCCAAUGUAUCUGAACUUUCUGCCACAAAAUAAUCAUUUUUAUCCCUUAAAUGUAUCUUUUUCAUUGGCAUAAACUUACAACUACUAUUUGUUUCCCAAUACAUAUCCAUGCUCAAACUUUUAAGUGCGCGAUUCUAACAUACUAAUUGAAGAAAAUGUCUCAUUUGAUUUAGAAAUUUGGAGGAUUGAAGAGAAACACAAGGCAAAAUCCCAGUUCCCUAACUUUUAACCAAAUGAAUAUAAAGCAAUAAUACCUCCCUCGGGCCGACAUCUUGAGACAUUUCUUGCAUCUUGCUGAAGUCUGUGUGUCCAAAUAGGAGGGGUGUUUGAAGGGAGUCACUUGGAGAGCUACGGAGCACUUUCAAAUCAUCAAAGAUCAAGAACAUGGCAUCCCCUUUAACGAAAACACCGUCGACCCCAGAAGCCUCGUCCUUGGACUCUUCCAGCAGCUCCAUUUUCUUUCGCAUCAAUUUUCUACAAGAACACCAUGCCCCAUCAAAACUACUCAGCAACAAAUCACUUCCUUUUGAACAGCUGUGACACAUGAAAUACUUUGUGGGCUCUGUGCCAUCCACCUUCACUUUUAGUCUCUGGUAAGAAGCUUCUAACGGGUUGCGUGGAGCAAGCAACAUUUUCUGGCAGAUGUUGUUCCAGAAAACAUCAGGGCGCAAAUUUUGCACACUCUCGUAAAGAUUGUUGAUGCAACCAAUCUGUACCGGUUGUUGAAAUUGGUUCCCAAGCCGGAUGAUAGUUCCCAAUGGAAGGGUCAGGAAACUAAAGAGAACAUCAACAAAGUCUCCACUUGCUUCUGCCAUAACUACACGCUUUUGCUCAUUAUCCACCCAAUAUCUCAAAGGGAUUGUUGCUUCUUGGUUGGAAGCCAUAACUGAAACAUACAACUAAACAUUAGUAUCAAUGAAACGAGAAAAAAAAAUGCAAAUCUUAUAGUGAAAUUUCUGAUAUCUCAACUUAGUUGUUCCUGUGAUAUCUCAACCCGGUAUCCUUUCCUUAAUUCAACAAAAGAAUCACAAAUUCUUACGAAAUUCAAAAGUUGCAUUACGAUUCCAAAUAUCAAAAAACUCUAUUGAACAGUAUUGUCAGAACCAUACCAAAUUAGUCCGUUGACUUAAUCAUGAAAACCAAUCUUGCAAAGAGCUAUUCAAAGUUCAAACCAGGCAAACUAGAUAAAAUUGGCUAGAACCAGCUAGUUGGAAAAGUAUUUUUUUUAUUAAAAAAAUAAUAUUAUAAUCAAUGAUACAGUUCUAAUUCAAUAUUAUGUUGAUUGAUAUUAUAUCAAUUAUAUUUAUUUAAUUCUAACUACGGUUUUUUUGGUGUUAUUUCUAAGUGUACUUAACUGUUAAGGUGAGAGUAUUUGAUUUAGUUUCAUAUUUAAUUUUUAAUUAUGAGUUGUGAGUUAUAAAAAUGAUAACUGAACUUCCUUAUAAAAAAAUAUAAUUGAACUUUAAUUUUUAUAUGAAGUUAUCAAUAUAAUAUUUCUUUAUUUAGAAUGCCUUAAUAUAUUAUAUUAAAAUUAAAAUAAUAUUAUUUAAUUAUUAUAUAUUCAAUCACGUACAGUUGGAUUUUAUAUAUAUAAUAUAUCCAGUUGGAUUAUAUUAAACUUUUAAGUAUUGUCGUGACUGACUAAUCUAGUUUUAAAAGUUUUGAUAAUAAAUAAUGAAGGUUGAAAACAUGUACACACUACAUACAAGUAACACUUAAAGUUAGAUACAUUUAAUGCUUAAAUAUUAAAAUAUGUUUUUAUAUAUAAAAUAUACUAUUUUUAGUUUACUAUUUAAAAAUAUUUUUUUAUUUUAUUACUGAACAUUUUUAAAUUUUUUUUAAUACCGUCGUUAAUCUAAAUCUGUUAAGUUAUCAAUUAAAUAUAAAAAUAUCAUCGUAAAAUAAAAACAAAAUAUUUUUAAGUAAUAAACUUAUAUAUAUAUAUAUAUAUAUAUAUAUAUAUAUAUAUAUAUAUAUAUAUAUAUAUAUAUAUAUGUGUGUGUGUGUGUGUGUGUCUACAUUAAAUUAUGUUAUAAAUACAACUAUAGAUACAACUCGCACUUGUUAAGCACAGGGAAGUUUCUAAACUUUAUAAUACCAAUUAUAUUUAAACAUUUAUUAUAAAGCGAAUGAAAUAAAUUUUAUGUCAAUUAUAUUUCUUGUAAUAGUAUGUAUGAGAUUCAUUUAACUAAUAUUAAAAAAUAUUUAAUUUAGAUAGUAAUAUUAAAUUUUUUAUUUUUUUAAAUUACUCUUAAAACUAUUGAAAUUCAUUAUCUCACUCCUUUUCACCUAAUUAAUUAUUGUCUAGCUAGCUAUCCAUUUCAUUAAUUUAAUUAUUAUUUAUUAAUAUAAAAGUUAUAAUGUAAUUAAGGAUAUUUUAGUUAAAAAUAAUUAAUAAAAAACAAUUUAAAUUGAGUCUUAUAGAAAAGGAGAAACAAAAAUCUCAAAAGGAUUUAAGACCAAAGGCGCGCGGUAUCUUUUUCAUUUUGCGAUGAAUAACUUAUUAUUUUAAUACCAAAUCAAAUCAAUAUUUAUUUUCUCUCUAAGUAGUUAUAUCCAAUCAAAAUGAGUGUUUCAUUUUUCAUAAUUAUUUUAAUUAAUAUUUAAAUCUUUAAUCAACAAGAUGAAUACAAUAAACAAUUGCAAGUGCAACAUAUAUGUUUUAUUAUACUUCAAAAAUCCUUUUCUCUGCUGCAUCACGUAUAAUUUUUUUAACUUUCUAAUGACACAUACAAAUGUACAACAACCACAACAAUUGUUACAAAACUAGACUUCAAAUUCAACGUAUUUGGUGGUUGUUACCGGACCGUAGCGUGUGAUCAAGAGUGAGGCAAUUAAUUAAUGAAAUAGAUAAAGGCCUGUAUUUGGUAUCUUUUCAAAGCAAGUGAUGAUUAAAUCUUAUCACAGGGUUUGUUCUACAGAUUUCACUGUGCCCAUAUUGGUUUGGCUACUUCAUUUUCAGAGUGAUCUCAAUGCUUUGAAGUGAUUGGAGGAACCAUGGUUAUUAGUAUCAUAUUAAAAUAAAAAGAUUAUUGAUCUAAUGUACAACAGCGACAACAGUUAUUACAAAAGUUGAAUUGAUUAGUUUAAGUAAGGGCAACAUGUUUUAUUAUACAUCAAAAGUCCUUUUCUAUGCUGCAUCACGUAUUCACGUUUAAUUUUUUAACUUUCCAAUGGCGGAACAAGCAAAUGAACAAGUCAACAAUUAUUAAAAAAGUAGACUUCAAUUCGACGUAUUUGGUGGGUGUUACGUCUAGACCGUAGCUUGCGGAAAUGAAGAGAGGCAAUAGAUAAAUGCCUGUAUUUGGUAUAUAUUUUCAAAGCAAGUGAUGAUUUAUCACAGGGUUUGUUAUACAGUUUCACUGUGCCAAUAAUUGGUUUUCGCUACUUCAUUUUCAAAGUGAUCUCAAUGCUUUGCAGUGAUUGAAGGAGGAAGGAUCCUAUAACAUUUUUCCUUUUCACUGCUUUCGUUAAAGAUUUCUUCAGAGCUUCUGGUUGCUUUUCUUGCCUUCAUCGUGGUGAUCAGGUAAGCAGUAAUUAAUUAAAGCACUCAUGAAAACUUGAUCGAUCCUUCGUAUUUGAAGUUGAGGUUUGUCAUUUAUCACUGUGUGCUAGUCAUCUUGGUCAUAUAUAUGCUCAUCUACAGGAAACAUAUUAGACACAAAGCAUGAUUAAUUUAUCUAUAAACUGAAACUUUUGCUGCUUAGCUGAUACUAGGAUUUUCGAGUUACAAAUUUUGAAUUCAUCAAUUUUAAAAGUUAACAUAUAUAGAUAAAUUAAACGUUCAUAUAUAUAUAUAUAUAUAUCAAAUUGAUGAAUAAUGCUAAUUUUAUUACUGCGGUUAUACGAAAAUUAAGAAAAGUUUAUAUUAAGUAUCCAGUUGGUUCUUGGAGGAUCUUAAAGGGAACUAUUUCCCAGGUAAUGGCGUAAAUAUACCAUUUUGGAGGCAUCCCGUUUCUGUUCUGGUUGAAGAAAUGACGUUAUCGUAAGCUUGUAACAAUUUUAAGCAAAAGCUUUUAUUGUAAGAAAUUAUAUUAUUGUAAAAAAAAAAAAAUUGGUAAUAGAUACAUGCUUUAUGCAGGUGAAUACUAACCCAGCAUUUGCACAUGAGUAUAUAUGUUUUUAGACUUUAAUUAAAAUACACUAAUAUAAUACUACAAAUAUUUUUAUAUUAUCAUAUAAUUAUAUAUUAAUAUGUAUGAAAAGUUUAUUGAAUUCCAUAAUAUAAUUACUUUUAUAACAUAUCAACGAUCGAUAAUUUCUAAAUAAAUAUUUUAAAAUUCAACAGUAUUCAAUUACAUAUAUGAUAAUUAAUAAUUAGAUAAUAAUAAGGGUGUUUACCGUACAAUUUUAAAAGUAAUUUAAACCAAAUAUAAAUAUUAUAUGUAAUUUGAUUUGGUUUGAUAUAAAUAUAAUAUCAAAUUUCAAUCAAACCAAAUUAAUCAUUUGUGACUUACUUUGAAUAAGUUUUUAUGUUUUUUUAUAUUUGAGAAUUUAUCUUUAUAUGUUUUUUUUAAAAUAUGUUAAUUUAACUAAAAAAAAUUGACGCUACCAGUAAGUGGGUGUCUAUUAUAAAAAUUAACUAUCAGAAAAUCUAUUCUAUGGCUAUGCCAAACUCAAACGGCUAUAAUUAGUUUUAUUUAGUUUGAUAUUACAUAAAAUGUAUAAAGGAGCUAUUAUUUGGAGAAUAAUCAAUACGCCCUUGCCUUUUUACUUCAUUGACGUAAUGAUUAGGUCAAAAGGUUUUUAUUGCUUCAAAGUAUGAAAAUAUUGAUUUGAUUUAGCAUUUAGCAAUGAAACAAAUUAAUGGGUUGCAAAACUUCAAUAAUAUUAAUAUUACUUCAAUAAUAUUAAUAUUAAUAGCUAUGACUGCUAAACAAUUUAGUUUGGUUUUGCACCACCAUGGCAAACUGAAACGAAAAACAAAUUUAAUAUAUAUAUAUAUAUAUAUAUAUAUAUAUAUAUAUAUAUAUAUAGAUUUUGUUCAAUUUUUAACUUUUUAGUGAUUUUUUAUUUGUUUUGAUUUGAACAUCCUAGAUGAUAUCAUAAAAUAAAUUACAAUGUCAAAAUAUUUCAAUUAAAUUCUUUAAUAUAUGUUUAAGUUUUAUGUAUGUGUACACAUGUAUUCACAAUAUUUAUUAACUAGUUAAAAAGAAUAUAAAAUUUGAAAAAAAUAGUCAUGGACAUAAGCUGAAUUGAUUGAUUUUUCAUGAAAUUAUAAUUAUUUAAGUACUUUCACGUUCCAGAUACUUGUAUACGAACAAGUAGUAUUUUAACAUUCACUCUUGCCCCAUCUGAUAAAUAGGUGUAAAAUGUAUAUUUGAUGUCGUCUCAGUGAUGAACAAACCGGUCCCUGCCCCGGUGGCCCGUCUUAUGUUGUAAAUUUAUCUAAAGGUAAGAUUAAUUUUGUCAUUAUUAUUUUUAUUUUUAAGAAUAAGUUCCAUUCAUAUUUCUGGAGUUUGUACUUAUUACAUUCAAUUUUAUUUCAUUUUUUUUAUCAUAUACAAGACUCUCUUAUUUUUUACAUAUCAUUCAUUAUACUAUAACCUCCUAACCCACUAACAUGAUCAAAGAUAACGGGAAAAAAAGAAAGAAGUAACGAUUUAGGAGCGGCGCCAUCACGUCCUCAACCCUCGAUAAAUAUGGCAAUGUCGUACUUGAUAAAAUAGUUGUCAAGUUACAUCACAUUGUCGCAGGAGGUGAAAUAGAGGAUGUCAAGCUGGGUGACCACAUGCAAGAGUUGUAAUAGAGGUUGUUGACCUCGACAUACAUAUUUAUAUGAUAUCAUACAUGAAAAUACGGAAUUAUUAAAAUAAUUUUAUUCAACAAACAUAAAGAAACUCGCGUGGGUAAAAUGUUUAUAUUUGCGUUAAUCACCAAAUUAAAAAUUUAUCAAAUAAAAAUAUGAAAACAUCUCUGACCCAAAAAUAAAAUCAUCCAUUUUUUUUACAAAAGGAAACAAGUUAAGCAACGGAAUAACAUAAAAUAACUUGUUCAAAAUAUUAUGCACAUAAUGCAAAAAUCAAUGUCACAAUGUCUCAUCCUGUCAGAGUAUUAUGUUUCAGCAUUCUCUAACAUGAGGUUUUCCAUAGUUAUCCAUCUAAUCAUCUACUCUCAUAAACACAAAGUUCAAGAUCAUCACAAGAUCCAAACACAAAUGAUACACACACUGGAAGUGAGUUAUCACAUUCCUAAUUAAUAGAGAGAAAUAGAAAAAUAUAAACAUGAAUAUCACAUUCCACCACUUAUCGUAUAACAUCACAUCUCACACUUAUCACAUCAUUUAAGUACUCAAGAAUUAAAACACGAUAUCACUCAACCAAUCAAUAUCGAUCAAUACACAAGCGUUAUGCAACAAAUAUACUAAGACUUAAUCCUAUAUGCAAUGUAAUUUCAUGUUAGUGAAAAACCUCGUUGGAUGCCCAAGAGUACGUGACAAGACAAACCACACACUAGCAAGUCAAGUCACUCUCACUUGGUAAAAUCAUAAGAAGAUCAAUCAGGAUCACUUUGUUUUACGAGAAUGCUCCAACCAUAUGGGAUUAACAUAGACAUCAAAGAAUAUUCAAACCGAGUGUAUUUACCCCCAAGACCUACACUCCGAAGAGUCUAUCAGGUUUUUUUUCUUCUGAUUCAGGUUCAACCUAGAAAACAUUUUAGCACGCAGACUCUAUUUAUGAAUUGUAUAAAACUCAUGACUCCUCAAUUGUUCUCAAAAUAAUUUUAAUUCGUCGCCCCUCAAAGUUAUUAAACUCGUCAGGUUCCCACAAUGAAUCUCAUCACAAUAUUCGUCUCACAUUAACCCGUCACCCUUAAAGGGUAUUACAGUCGUGUGAUUGUAUGGUUCAUAGUUCACAACUCAAUACACACAACAUCUCAAUAUACAUGUGUGAUCUAACAAUUUAACACAUACUUAACUUGUCACUUACACAUAGUUUCUCACACUUCCAUAAUUCCAAAACAACAUGUUAUCAUGCCUCAUGCAUUAUAUACGUGUCACACAAUAACAAUAUUAAUAUGUUAUGUUCAUAUGAUUAAACCCCUAAAAUAAUUUCACAUAAUCAUAUCAAAAUCAAAGGAAUCAAAAUCAUAGGUGAAAAACAUGAAAACACCAAGAGUACUCAAUUUUAUCAACUAAUUCACAUUAGGGCAUCAAUUGACCCAUCAAACACAAUAAUCUUGUAAUUAUAAUCAUAAAGGAAGAAUCACAAUACAGUAAAUAUCUCAAAAUAAAUCUCAAUUUAAUCCUCUAAGGAUCCUUAUACAUGUUUAUUCUAACCCCAAUUAUGAUAAACACAUCUCUUACCUCUAAGCGGGCACACAUAUGUAAUUUGAUAGUGAUAACGACAUUUCUAAUUGUUCUGCUAAGGUUUUCCGUACCUGGGAUACUUUUCUCACCCCAGACAUUAUUUUGCAAGUCCAAACAAUGUAGAUGAACGAAAAUGAGUUCCAAACCUAGUGUUUAAAUUUCAUGAUGAUCUAGCAGUUAACGAGUUCGAGAUAAUAAUUUUAAUGAGAUAGAUUAUGGUGUAUGGGGAAAAAGCUACUUGUGAGGGACAUUUCUUUCACCAGAGACAUUAUUUCUCAAAUUCCAAUGGUUGGAAUGAGCAAAAAUGAGUUUUGAACUAGUUGUUCAAACUUUAAGAUGAUUCAACAGUCUAGGAUCAUAGUUUUACUGACAGGUUUGAGUGUAUGCAAGAAAAAGAGAAGAUUUAGGGAGAUGAGGAAGGGAAAAAAAAUUGAGAGAAAGAGAGAGCGUAGAGACGUAUUGUAAAUGUAAAACUGAUCUAAUAUGUCUCUGUUUAUAGUUAGAGUACUCUUAGCCUAUUAUUUAUUAUAUUUUUUAUUUUAUAAAAAAGCUUUAUUUUACUUCCUAUCAAACGAAUAAAUAAAAUCUCAUUUUUAUUUUCUAAGAAUAUAUAUUUAUUUUAUUUACCUUAAAAUAAUUAUUUUAAUUAAUAAAAAUAUUUCUUCAUAUCUAUUUAAUUACAAAAAUCUCAUUAUUUUCUUAAAAUUCUUUUUAUUUUUAAAUAAAAUUAUUUUUAAUUUAUUUUAUGAAAAAAAUAAAAUGUUAAAAGAGCACUAGUCGUUGAUGAGGUUGCCGCGAUAUUGGAAGAGAUGACAUCGGAGGAGGCGAUAAUAGUCAAGUUGUUGUGAUUGGUGAAAGCGACAGAGUUGACAAGGAAGGUGAGGAGUGAGUUGAUGAUAUUUUCGUAAGUAAACCCGACGUGAACUUGGGCUGAGAGGAGUCCUGCACACGAGUGAUAGGAGAUCUUAGGACAUUUCAUAAAAAAAAAUAAAAAUAACAGGGUUAGUAACGAUGAUUAAAAAUAACAGGGUUAGUAACGAUGAUUAUUUAAGGAGAGACAAAAGAUAUAUAAUUUUAGGAAGGGGUGUAAGUGCAAUUAACGCAAACCUAACUUUAGGGAGAGAGUGUAAUUUGCUUUAUUUUUAAUUAUGAAAACAUGUUAUGCCGAACUAUGCCAACGAAAAGCUGAGCAAAAAUUAAACAUUUUUAUUGCAUAUUUUUAGUGAAAUUUUUUAAGUCGAGACUUAAUUUCAAAUAACGUGAAAUUUUUUAUUUUUGUAUAAAUAUAAUGCUUUAACCAUUUUCUUUUAAUUAUGAUUGUAGGUUUUUUAAUACAAACUACACGUGUACCCCGUGUGACUCACGGGGAUAAAUGUUUCUUAUUUUUGUAAUAUUUAUUAAGUUUUUAGUUUAUCAUUAUGUGUAACUUUUUUUGUAUUUAUUUUUUUCAAAUAUUAUUAUUCUACAAUUUAAGAUUUUAAAUUAUUAUUAUAUGUUACAAAAGUAAUAUUUUUCAUUCUUAAAAUUAUAGUAUUAAUUGACUACUAUUUUAUAUUUUUUGUUUUAGUGUUUUUUAAAUAUAUCUAUAUUUAUUUAAAAAUUAGCAUAUUAAUAUAUAUAUAUAUAUAUAUAUAUAUAUAUAUAUAUAUAUAUAUAUAUACACACACACAUAUAUUUAUAUUAUAAAUAUCAAACAAAUUUUUAUAUUAUUAUAGCAUUUUUUUAUGAUGAAAAGGACUGUGCACGUGUAAAAUAAUUUUAAAUAUCCAGGAAUGCUUUGCUGCCAUCUUGCCUAUGAGAUAAUUAAUUAGUGAUUUGAUUUCAAUCUUACUACCAUCAUUUCUCCUGUGUCCUUUAUCCAUUAUUUCAAAUGUCUUGAUAUAUAUUGAACACAAGGCAUAAGAUGUCUUUCUUGUUAAGUAUAAUCAUUUAUUUUUCUAUACCCAUGUAGACAUCUAAAUAUAAAUGAUCGAGUUCAAUAUCUCAUAUUACUCUAUAUGUGUGGUCAUACAUAUUACACAUCUCUCCUUCGCUUUGUCUCUUUGUAAUUAUCACUGUCAUAAUUAAUAUUGUGACUCUCCUUAGUUGUAGGAUUGACAUUUUAAAUCACAAUUAAUUGAUAGAAUUCUACAUUAAUUUGAACUAUCUCCUUUAUGAUUCCCUUUCGAAAUAUUUCUCCACAUAACUCUUACCAUGAUAUUGGCAUUGACCAUUAAUGGUAAUUGGUAACUUUAGUUUUCCCACUAUUAGCAUUGCUUUUGUUACUCGACAUUCCAUCGUCCCCUUAAGCCGCACUUCCACUUUCCACACUUGAUAUGUUGUUCCAUAGCCACCAGCCACCAUCGAUUCCCUCUUUCCUCCUUUGCUUCACCCACAAUUAAGCAUAUUAUUCCACUACUUACCUUUUUUUUCAACAAUGUCUCACAGGAUUUAUCAUUGUGACCAAGAAUGCCACAAACGAAAGAAAAUGUACCUAAACGCUCAUACUUGAAAGUCACCAUUCGCCACUUCCUUCCUGACUUAUGUAACUUGAUCUCUUUUUUCAAAGAUUUAAGGACAUCAAUAUUCACUCGGAUUCUCAUGUAUGUUCUCCACCCUCUUGAAUUAUUACUAGCAUCAUACUCCAUGAAUUCUCCAAUAUAACUCCCUAGGUACUAACCUAAAAUCGGAGUUAUAAACCCAGCUAGAAUGUGGUGGGCUUGAAGCCCAAAAGGAAUAUGAUAUAACUGUAUCUGACUAGGGACAUCUUCAAGUUGAAUUCUUCCCAUAAAUUCAAUGUCCCCUUGACAAAACUCUCUCCAUAUCCAAUUAAUUGUGAUAAAAUUGGAACAUAAAGGUUCUUUGAAUCACUUCCUUGAUUGAGACUCCUUACACAUCCCCCAUUCUAUCCUUCAUUCUAUGGCCGCAAAUUGACUUCUAUGUAAGAAAACGACCAACGAUACAUAGGAAUACAUCAUUGCUUAUUGGUUGUUUCCUUAUCUUCAUCAACAUGUAAAUUCUUGAAGAGGGAUGAGGAACCUUUAAAUGUGACUAAGUCCACACUAGUUGAUAAAAAAAGAAACUAAGCCUUCAUUGUCAUCCUGCAACGAAGAUAGACGCCCCACAUCCCUUAUCUCCCUACCACUCAAUUUUCGAAAGGCUCGUCUCAUUAGAAAAGAUACUCUUUUUUUUUUGUGAUACUAAUUUCCCAAGGACUAGAAAAAGGUCAAAAACUAGGUCAUCUCUCAGAGGAGAGAAAUAAUUAUGUAUAGUAAAAGUUAUAAUAUCAACUAUUUAUUCUAUAAUUAAUAAUUAUUAUCAAACUAUUUUAUGCUAUAAAGUGCACUCUCAAAUUUUAAAAGAGUCAAAUCUUAAAUCUUAUACUUAUAUGGGCAAGAUUGGGUAAAUCAAGACAACCAAUGGUGGCUGUCCUUUGUUUGUUUUCUUCUGAGUUUAUACUCUUCUUAAAAUUAGGAGUAUUAAAAGUUUUAAAUGCGUGUUUUUAAUCCUUUAUGAAUUUUAAUUAUCUUUAAAAUGUUUUUUAAUUAAAUUAAUUUUAAAUCAAUUUUUUAUUUUUAUAUAUACAUCUAAUGAAACAAUUAAUUUUAUCUUUUAGAUUUAUCUACCAAAAAAAUUAGUUUAAAAAGAGCUCUAAAACUAAGAAAUGAAAAAUAGCAAAUAUCUUUUAAUUCCUUUAUUUUUAGGACAGUUAUUUUGAACUGUCUUUUUUAAUUAUAGAGUACUUGCAAUGAUACUUGUGAUAUUUAUUGAUAAUAUCAUCAUUUUCUUAAGUAGUUGUUGACUGAUCUGUUUCUACCUUGGUUUUCUUGGGAGACAGAUCUAGUCGUACUUAGUAAAAGAUAAUCAAGCACAAAGUAUGAAUUAUUUGAACAAAGUAGGGGAAAAAGCAUUUGGUUGCGUGUUGGACCUGGGUAUUCGGCAUGUGGCUUACAUCUUCAGUUACGGGAAGAAAGUUGAUGAACUAAACAAUAGUAUUAAGGAUCUUGGGCAUGCAAAAGAGAGGGUAGAUCAUCUACGUGAUGAAGCUAAGAAGAAUCUACACAACAUUGAAGGUCAGGUUACAGAAUGGUUUCGGAAAGUAGAAGAAUGUAAGACUGAAGUGGAGGAGUUUGGGAACGAUGAAGGCCACAGAAAGACACGGUUGCUCCAUGAUUUAUUUCCUUACUUGUGGAAUAGAUACAGGCUAGGCAAACAAGCAGUGGAGAUGACAGAGGAUGUCAAGAACUUAAUAGAUGAGUGCUCCAAGUUUAAAGAAGUUGCCUACAGGGAGAACAUAACAUCUAAUGAUGUCACUUUGUCUAAUGCUGGCUAUGUAGAAUUUGGUUCUAGAAAAUCUAUAUUGGAAGGCGUAAUGGCGCAACUUGAAGAUUCCACUGUCAGAAUGAUUGGACUGCAUGGGCCUGGUGGUGUGGGUAAGAGCACUUUAAUCAAAGACAUUGCGAAGAAAUCUCUAGACAAGAAGCUGUUUGAUGUGGUAGUUAAACUAGAAAUAACAGCCAAUCCCAAUCUACAAAAAAUCCAGGAAGAAAUUGCUUACGUGUUAGGAUUGAGAUUGGAAGGGGAAGGUGAGAAUGUGAGAGCUGAUUGUCUACGAAGGAGGUUAAAGCAAGAGAAGGAGAGCAUCCUUGUAAUCUUGGAUGACCUUUGGGACAGAUUAGACUUGAAUAAGUUGGGGGUUCCACUUGAUGGUGAUGUUGAUCAUAAUGAUUUAAGCAAGAAGACACUUGAUGGUGAUGUUGAUCAUAAUGAUUUAAGCAAGAAGACAAGCAAGGCUAAAAUGGGUCCCAAAGAGGCGAAUAAAGAAAAAUCUCUUGGUGAUUGUAAGGGCUGCAAAAUUUUGCUAACUUCAAGGGAUAAAAACGUAUUAACCGAUAAAAUGGAAGUUAAGUCAACUUUCUGUGUAGAGGAAUUAGAUGACGAUGAUGCUCUGAGAUUGUUUCAGAAGGAGGCUAGAAUACAGGGUGAAAUGUCCAAGUGGAAACAAGAAAUUGUUAAGAAGUACUGUGCAGGGUUACCUAUGGCAAUAGUUACAGUUGGAAGGGCAUUAAGAGACAAGAGCGACUCAGAGUGGGAAAAACUUAAAAAUCAAGACCUGGUGGGAGUUCAGAAUUCUAUGGAGAUUUCUGUAAAAAUGAGUUAUGACCGUCUAGAAAAUGAGGAGCUCAAGUCCAUUUUCUUUCUUUGUGCUCAAAUGGGUCAUCAACCCCUAAUUAUGGACUUGGUGAAGUAUUGCUUUGGUUUGGGAAUACUUGAGGGGGUCUACUCACUUGGGGAAGCUCGGAGCAGAAUAUCUACAUUAAUCCAAAAGCUGAAAAACUCAGGUUUGGUGUUGGAUGGAAGUUCUAGUAUUCAUUUCAAUAUGCAUGAUCUGGUUCGAGAUGCUGCUUUAUCUAUAGCACAGAAGGAGCAAAAUGUAUUUACUUUGAGAAAUGCCAAACUUGAUGAUUGGCCUCAACUCGAGAGGUGCACUUCUAUUUCUAUAUGCAACAGUGAUAUCAUUGAUGAGCUUCCAGAAGAAAUAAAUUGUCCUCAACUUAAAUUUUUCCAAAUUGACAGCGAUGAUCCAUCCUUAAAAAUACCUGACAGUUUUUUUAAAGGAAUGAAAAAGCUCAAAGUAUUAAUGUUGACUGGUAUUCAACUAUCAAGAUUACCAUCUUCAAUUGAAAGCCUAUCAGACCUCAGAUUGCUUUGUUUGGAGCGAUGCACUUUAGAUCACAACUUAUCCAUCAUAGGGAAGCUGAAAAAAUUAAGAAUUCUCAGUUUUUCUGGAUCUCGAAUUGAAAAUUUGCCAGCUAAGUUAAAGGACUUGGAUAAACUACAAUUACUAGACAUCAGCAAUUGUUCAAUGGUCAAGAUGAUUCCGCCUAAUCUUAUAUCAAAAUUGACUUUGUUGGAAGAGCUGUAUGUUAGAAAGAGCUUCAUCGAAGUGUUGGAGGAAGGAGAAAGAAACCAUAGUCAAAUUUCAUUUCUUUCUGAACUAAAGCAUUUGCAUCAAUUGCAAGUGGUGGAUUUAAGCAUUCCAUGUGCUGAAGCUUUUCCCGAUGAAUUGUUCUUUGACAACUUAACUGAUUACAAGAUUGAGAUUGGGAACUUCAAAACACUUUCAGUUGGAGAUUUCAGGAUGCCUAAUAAGUAUGAAAAGUUCAAAUCUUUGGCAUUGAAGCUGAAGGAUGACACUGACAAUAUUCACUCUCAGAAAGGAAUAAAGUUGUUGUUUAAAAGAGUUGAAAAUUUGUUGUUGGGAGAGCUGAAUGGUGUUCAAGAUGUUAUUAAUGAGUUGAAUUUGGAUGGAUUUCCAUAUCUGAAACACUUAUCCAUCGUAAACAACCCUAGCAUCAAAUGCAUCAUCAACUCAAAGGAUUUGUUUUAUCCCCAGGAUGUUUUUCCCAAGUUGGAAUCUCUAUGCCUCCACAAACUAAGAAAGAUAGAGAUGAUAUACUUUAGUUCAGGUACAAAGAUGAUAUUUACAGAUUGCUCAUUCACCAACUUGAAAACCAUCAAGGUCGAGAUGUGUGACCAAUUGAAGAAUCUUUUCUCCUCUUGCAUGGUUAAAUUGCUUGUGAGUCUUGAAACAAUUGGUGUUUCCCAUUGUUUUUCUUUAGAAGAGAUGGUUAAAAUACCUGACAAUUCUGAUAAGAUUGAGUUUCUUAAGUUGAAGUCUUUGUCACUUCAAUCAUUAUCAUCAUUCACUAGUUUUUAUACCACAGUAGAGGGGUCUUCCACAAACAGGAAUCACAUACAAAUUACUGUUAUAGAGACGGAGCAUAGUGAGAUGGCUCCUCCUCUUUUUGGUGAACUGGUAUGAUAGUGCAUAUUUUUCCUUUAAAUUUUUUAAUUAGUUUGUGACUAAUUAUUUUUUAGUUGUAAAUAUGUUAAUUGUGUAUGUGCUUGCAGGUUGAAAUACCAAACUUAGAGAACUUGAAUUUAAUCUCAAUGAACAAGAUCCAGAAGAUAUGGAGUGACCAGCCCCCGUCAAAUUUCUGCUUUCAAGACUUAAUAAAAUUAGUUGUGAAAGAUUGUCAUAAUUUGAGAUAUUUGUGUUCAUUGUCCGUUGCUAGCAGUUUGAGGAAACUGAAAGGCCUCUUUGUAAGCAACUGUAAAAUGAUGGAAAAGAUUUUUAGCACAGAAGGAAAUAGUGCAGACAAGGUGUGUAUAGGUGUAAAUAAGUAAAUUUUUAUAGUUGACUGAAUGUUAUGCAUUUCUAUUUAGUUUCGUUACCAAAUAAUGGCUUGUUGUCAUCAAAGUGCAGGUUUGCAUCUUUCCUAAGUUGGAGGAAAUCCACCUCGACCAAAUGAUUGAGUUAACAGACAUAUGGCAAGCUGAAGUGAGUGUUGAUUCCUUUUCUAGUCUCACUUCUGUGUACAUUUUUCGUUGCGAUAAACUAAACAAAAUUUUUCCAAGUCACAUGGAAGGAUGGUUUGCGAGUUUGAACAGCUUGAAGGUUCAUUAUUGUGAGUCAGUGGAAGUGAUUUUUGAAAUCAAAGAUUCUCUGCAAGUAGAUGCAUCUGGUGGGAUAGACACAAAUUUGCAGGUUGUUGAUGUAUGCAAUCUCCCAAAGUUGGAGCAUGUGUGGAGCAGGGAUCCAGGAGGAAUUCUUAACUUCAAAAAUCUGCAGAGUAUAGAAGUGUCUGGUUGUAAUAGACUGAGGAAUGUAUUUCUAGCUUCUGUGGCCAAAGAUGUUCCAAAGCUUGAAUACAUGUCGGUACAAAGUUAUGGAAUUGUGGAAAUUGUUGCCUGUGAAGAUGGAUCCGAAAAAAACACUGAACAAUUAGUGUUUCCUGAACUAACCUACAUGACCUUAUAUAACCUAUCAAGCAUCCAACAUUUCUACAGGGGGAGACAUCCUAUAGAGUGUCCAAAAUUGAAGAAGUUGGAAGUAAACAAAUGCAACAAGGAGCUAAAAACAUUCCAAACAAGAGAAUGCAGCAAUGAAGAAGAUGAAGUAGUUUUGUCAGCUGAAAAUGUAAGUCAUAUUGUGAGACAUAAAGGAAAAACAAAAUGCAGAGUGAUAUUGUAAGAAGUGUGGCAUACUUAAAAAAGAUAUAACCCUGCUAAAUAUAAUAUGGAUAGAACUUUUAGAAUUGAUUAUUAAUAGUUUAACGUCUGUGAUCCCCCAAUCCCUCUUUGUUUAAAUCAUCUAAUCCAAAUUCCUCAUUGUGGCUUACAAAUUUUUUAGAAUUUAGAAUUCAAGGGAAUUUUUGAUUAAUUAUUAUAAUUUAAUUUACCGUGGUACUAUAAAGUACUGUUAAGAGCAUUUUUUAGUCUUGAUGGGACCCGAGAGUAACCAAUAUGCAGGCAAGGAGUAAAAUAAGUGAAGAGAGAGAAAUGCAAUAUAUUUUGCUAUGUAAGUGUAUGUAAAUGCUCUUACAAUAAAGUAGCUUCCUUCUUCAUAGUGUACUAUUUACUUUUGUUUUAUUUUUCUGUAGAUAUUCCCCAACUUGGAGUAUUUGGAUAUUGACUUUGACGAAGCACAGGAGUGGUUAUUGAGCAACACUGUGAAGCAUCGAAUGCACAAUUUAAAAGAGCUUAGGUUGUGCUAUGUUAAUGAUGGUGAACGUCUCUGUCAGAUUCUGUACAGAAUGCCAAAUCUAGAAAAGUUAUAUUUGUUUAACUCUGAACAUUUGCUUAAAGAGUCAUCGGAGUCACGUUUGGGAACCGUAAUACAGCUGAAAGAAUUGGUUUUGUGGUCUUCGAAGAUAAAGGAUAUAGGAUUUGAACGAGAACCAGUUCUACAGAGACUAGAGCUUUUGAGCUUACAUUGGUGCCACAAAUUGAGGAAUUUGGCUCCUCCCUCGGUAUCAUUGGCUUACUUGACAAAUUUGGAAGUAAGGAAUUGUGGUAGAUUAAGGAAUUUAAUGGCAUCCUCAACGGCAAAAAGCUUGGUUCAACUUAAGUCCAUGAAGAUAAGCGAAUGCGAUGAAUUAGAGGAAAUAGUAAGCAAUGAGGGAAAUGAAGAAGAAGAGCAAAUAGUGUUUGGCAAAUUGAUUACUAUAGAACUUGAGUACCUACUGAAUCUGAAAAGUUUUUGCAGUUACAAUAACUGUGAAUUCAAAUUCCCGUCAUUGGAAAUAUUGAUUGUGAGAGAAUGCCGAAUGAUGCAAACAUUCACGGAGGGUGGUGCAAGAGCACCAAAGUUACAAAAUAUAGGUGGUGGUGUUGAAAAAGGUAAAGAGGAAGCCAUGUGGCAGUGGGAAGGAGACUUGAAUGCCACCAUACAAAAAGGUUUCUACCAGGAGGUACUUACAUUUAUUUUAUCAGUUCAAGUUUGUUAAAUUUCUUUAAGAUAUAAAUAUGUUAGCUUAAAAAAAUCAGCAUUUAUAUAAAUUUAUUAAUCAUUUUUGUUUGAAAAACUUCAUUCAUGAAAUUUAAAAUGAUACGAAUUUGACUGCUUCAUGUACCCAGCGUAGUCAUAAAGAAAACCUUCCCUCAUCUUACAACUUUUCUUUUUAAUCCAAAUAAAUAAACUUCAAUUCAUAUUGAUUGUGAUCCAUGAAUUUUUUGUUAACACUUUUAGUCUUUCUAGACAUUUUUGCUCAUUAUUAAUCCUUUGUUUAUGUUAUAUUUAAGAUUAAUUUUGAGCAACAAAAUAAAUGACUAAAAAUGGACAAACACAUUUAGAGGGAAACUUUAAUGAAUGCUUGAAAAUUGUCAAAAAAAAUUGAGGAAACAAAAAUUAUAAUAUAAAAAAGAUGAAAAGUUAAAAACUUAAUUAAAAACACUAACAUGUUGAUUUGUGAUAACAAGUUAACAAAUUUAUCCAUAUAAUUUGCGGUCAUCUAUAUAUUUAUAAAAUAAAAGUCUCAUAAGAGGUUAUUAUAACUUAUAAUAAGGUUAAUUUUGUAGUUAGGAAGAAGGAUUUCAAGGAAAAAGGAUGAAAGAGGUUUUGAGUUAGAAUACUAUCACUAAUAUUCUAAUAAAAAAACUACCCGCUAAUAUUAAUUGAUAAAAAAAAUCUCAUGAAAAUAAUGUCUUAUAUAUUGAUGAAUAAGGAUAAAAUGUAUUUUUUUUGUUAAAAUAUGAAAUCACGUGAAAAUAAAAUGACAUUUUUACACCUAAGAGUAAAUAAUAAAAUAUUUCUUAAACUAAAUCAUCCAUAAUUUCAUCAUUGAUAAAAAAAAAUUAUGUUAUUUACUUAUAUUUUUUUUGUUUAACCUUUUGUGCAGCUAUCCAUAAUUAGUAUUUUAGCACAUGGCAGAAAAUAAAUAUUUAUUUAUACAACAAGAAUUUUUAAUUUAUAAUAAAUAAAUAUUUUAUGUAUAUAAAUUAUAUUAUAAUUAAAUUUGCUAAUAUAUUAUUUUUAACAUAUAAAUUACAUUUUAAAUUUAUGUUAGGAUGUAUUAUUAUUUUAAAUAAUUGAUGUUUUCUUUGAAAAAUAUUUAAAUUAAAGUUAGAAACAAGGAUGCCGUCAAGUUUUCUUAAGCCAAUUAUCUUAGUUUUGUUUCUCUCUAAUGGAAGGAAGGUGUUUUAAUGGUCCCCUUGAUGAUGAAACUUGGAAUGUAAUUUUAUAAUAAACAACGGACAUAAUUGCUCCCUCCAUAUUAAUAUCUGUUUGCCACACAACUCAGUCUCAUCAUUCUUUGGCGUUGGCUUCUUCAUCUUAUACUAAGAUAGCAAGAGUUGAUGGAUUCAUUUUUUAUUAUUAAUUAUUAAUUAUAUAAAAAUUUAUUUAUAUUUAUUAUCCAUUUGACUAGUGAGUUUUAAGAUAUUAGGUGUUUUUCAUUAAAAUAUAAUAAAUAUAUUUUUAAUUAAUAUGAUAAUCUUAAACUAAAAAAAAUAUUAUAUUUAUUAUUAAGAAUUUUUCAUUGAAAGUUUAAAAUAAUGUUAACAACUAAGAAUUCUCACUUGAAUUAAUUUAAUGAUAUCAUUCACACGUGAAUUAUAUAUAUAUAUAUAUAUAUAUAUAUAUAUAUAUAUAUAUAUAUAUAUAUAAUUUAAUAAAUAAGAUUAAUUAUUUUUCUUCAAUAAAGAUGAUUAUGUAUACAUUAAUAUAUCCUGAUUAUUAUUAUCCUAUUUUAUAAUAAUCUUAUGAUAAAAAAAUAAAUUAGACUAAAAUUAUAAAAAAAAAUUGAUUAUUAUUAUUAUUUCUAUCAUAUAACAUGUGUUUAAUUUUAAUCCAGACCUAUCAAGUUAACAAUUUAAUAAAAAAUAAAUAAUAAUAUUUUUUACCAAAAUUGAUAAUAUGAUAUAUAUAUAUAUAUAUAUAUAUAUAUAAUUCUACAUUUUUACUUAUGGUUUAUCUAAAAAUAAUAAAAUAAAUAUAUGAUCUUAUAGUUUAUAUUGUAAAUAGAUUUCUUUAUUAAUUAAUAAUAUUUUUUAUAAUAUAGAGCUGUUUCUUUUCAUUUGUUAAACCCAUGUUUGUUUGAAUUUUUAUUCAGAAUUGUUAUAAUUUUGAGAGAGAAAAAUAUGAUUAUUUUCUUUAAGUUCAUUAAAAAAUCCAUAGAUUUUUUUCCCUGUAUCCUCACACAAAUAUUUUGUAUAUAAAAAAAAACAAACUAAAUGUUUCAGGUUCAUUUUUUUCACACAAAAAAAUGGAAAUGAAAUUUUUAAUUUUUCAGACAAAAGUAAAAAAAAAAUUAUACUAUAUAAAAAAUAUUUUGGUUCCUCCAAUAUUUUUUUUUCUCAAAGUUCCGCCACUGAUUUCAUGCGUCUCUAUGUCUAAUAUCAAGUUCCUCUCUUUUUCUUUGUCUUUUUAUUAACUAAAUUCAGUAUUAAUACAGUAACUGAUUUAUGACUAAUCUAUCUAUUUGUUAUGAUGUAAUCGCCAGCUAUGAAACUGACAUAUUAGCCUUUUGUAUGCAAUAUCCUAUUUUGCAUGCACAGCUUUUGGACUCUACACGUGCUUCUAAAAGUCUCAGAGUCAGCCCACGACUACAAGAGAUAUGGCUUGACUCACGGCGGAUCCCAAAGUCGUGCUUCAGUAAGUUGAAGUAUUUGACUGUGGACGGAUGCCAACUUUUAACAGAUGUUGUCAUACCCUUCUCUUUACUUCCUUUCUUAACUAAUUUGGAACAAUUACAUGUCCGAAAGUGUGGUUCUGUGAAAAGCAUAUUUGACGUGAAAACAGCUAUGGGAUUGGGAGCAGCAGCCUUCCCUAGACCUCUCCCUUUUUCCCUCAAGAAAUUGACUUUAGAGAGGCUGCCAAAACUGGAGAAUAUCUGGAAUGAAGAUCCUCAUGGAAUUCUAAGCGUGCAACAUCUACAACUUGUUAUUGUUGAGAAAUGUAAAUGCCUUACAAGUGUGUUUCCGGCAUCAGUAGCCAAAGAUCUUGAAAAACUAGUUGUCAAAGACUGUGAGGGAUUGAUGGAAAUUGUUGCAGAGGAUAAUGCAGAUCCAAGAGGAGCAAAUCUAGACCUUAUGUUCCCGUGUCCCUGUGUGAGGUCAUUGAAACUACAAGGUUUGCCCAAGUUCAAGUAUUUUUACUACGGCUCACUGCAGUGUGACAUGUUCCAGACACCUACCGAGGAUGGAAAGGUACUAUUGUCUUACUACUUUGUCCUUACCGCAGAAUCUGAUGCCUGCUUAUUAUAUAUAAUUGCACUACUUUUAUAAGAAUUGAAUUAUCACCAUUAGUUUCUAUACUUCAUUUUUAUUGUUCAACAUGAGUGAUAUGAACAUGCUCUUAAAAUUAAAAUGUGAAAAUUUCACGUAUAUUGCUAUAUAUAUGCCGUGUUCUAUCUUCUAUGCCUAUUAACUCCCAUUUUUCAUGUUUUACAUAAAUAAGUAAAAGAAUACACUUAAGGGUACAUGUUACAUUCAUGAUACAACAAUGACAUUUUAGGUUAUUAAUACACACGAUUACAUAGAAUCUUACACACGCUAUUUUACUUUAUCAAAUAUUAUGUAUGGAUACGAUGGUUCUCAAAUCGUUAUAAACAAUCUCCCUACCAUCUAAAGGAUCGAAUUUUUCAUCAUUUUCUUCUCCGUUGGAACAACUACAACCUCCCUAAAGGUCUCCUUUAUCACUUUUUCCAUCUAAAACUUUAAACUACAAAUAAAUAAAUUUGUUUAGGCUCAUACCGCAUCAAAAUCCCUUUAUUAAUAACUAGCCUGGUUCAUCUCUUUUUCCUUUUUGGUUUAGUGAACUUUUUUUCUUCUUUGCAUUGACUUGUUUGAACCUAUUUUAUUGUAAUAGUUAAUUUGUAACUAAUUAUCGGAUAUCUUUUAUCAUGAAAUUAGAGUUCGUUUUUCAUUGUAAAUAAAAGAGCUGGAUCUAUAACUGCCCUAACCUUCUUUUGCUUGGUUAUCGGUUUCUCUUGGUAGCUUACAUCCAACUUGCAAUGCCUGUCACUGGGUGAAAAAGGACUGGAGAUGAUCAAGCGUGGAGAAUUUCAGAGAAACUUCUUGCACAAGCUACAAGUUCUUACUGUGGGCUUUCAUAUAGGGUCCGAUGAAUUUCCAUAUGAAAUUCUACAACUGGCGCCCAAUAUAGAGAAGCUUGUGGUGUGUGAUGGUUCCUUCAAGGAGAUUUUCUGCUUUGAUAGUCUUAAUGUGGAUGAGGCUGGACUCCUAUUACAGCUCAAAGUCUUAUGCUUGGACUCCCUUCCAGAGCUUGUUUCCAUUGGGUUAGAGAACUCUUGGAUUCAGCCCUUACUGGGAAAUCUAGAAACCUUGGAAGUAAUAGGUUGUUCUAGUCUAAAAGACUUGGUACCAUCUACAGUGUCUUUCUCCAAUCUGACAUAUUUGCAAGUAGAAAGAUGCAACAACCUGCGUCAUUUGUUCGCAUCCUCAACAGCAAGAAGUUUGGGUCAACUCAAAAGAAUGGAGAUAAAAAGGUGUGAUUCAAUUGAAGAGAUAGUCUCUAAGGAGGGGGAUGAAUCACAUGAGAAUGAAAUAAUAUUUCCGCAACUCAAUUGUUUGAAACUUGAAGAAUUACGAAAGCUGAGAAGCUUCUAUAAAGGAAGUUUAUUAAGUUUCCCAUCAUUGGAGGAAUUGUCAGUAAUGGAGUGCGCGUGGAUGGAAACAUUAUGUCCUGGUACCCUAAAAGCAGACAAGUUGGUUCAACUUCAACUUGACAGGUACUUAUAUGAACGUGAGGAGUCAUCAGAUGCUAUCAAAUUGGAAAAUGACCUGAACUCUACCAUGCGGGAGGCAUUUAGGGAAAAGGUAUGUUUUCAAUUAUUUUGAUUAAAUAUGAUUGAUAUUGGUGUAUGUUGUUCUUAUAAUGCAAAAUAUACACCGUUAGGUUAAUUAGAUUCAUCCUCAAAAUAACUUUGGCCUCAUCCAAUAAUUUAUCUUUGGAUUCUCAGCGUCGUCCAAUUUUUCGGAAAACCAAAAAACUCACAGAAACAACAUUUAUGUGCCAAUCUAAUUUGGCUCAUAUUAAUUUUUUACGUUAAACUCAUAAUAAUUUAAUCUAUUUUCUAUGUACUUUAUCAAUGCUACUUAACUUAUAUAUAUUAAUAAUACUGAUAUAAAAUGAAUCCGAACUCUUUCAAGCCACUGCAGAAAUGAUUUGAAAAUUAUUUAAUUUUUAUUUUAUUAGUAAACCAUUUAAUUUUAUUUACAUUAAUCCUAUUGAAUAAAAGAAACUAUCAAUCUUUUAUAAUCCACUCUUAUAUAUACAUUCAAAAUAUUUAUCUUUUAGCAAUUUUAACUAUAUAAAAAAAUUAUCUUCUAGGAUUAAGAUACUAAUUAUAUUUAAAAUCUAGAUUAGGGUAGUUAAAAUGUUAGCUGUCCUUUUUUUUAAUUUUCUUUAACUUUUUGUUAUUUCUUCAUUUAUAUAUUAAAAUAGAUUAAAUAGAUAUUAAAAAAAAUUAGAGUGACUUGAAGAAGUUUAGAUUCAUUAUUAUUAUUAUUAUUAAUUACUAGUACAAAUAAAAGUUAAGUAGUAUAAGUAAGGUAUGUAAAAAAUAAAUAAUUAAAAUAUUAAUGAGUUUAGCUUACUAAAAAAGUAAGAGAUUCUUUUUUGAGCAUAAGGUAAGAGAUUAAUAUAAGUCAAAUAAUCUUAUUUAUCAACUUAAUUGUAUGAUGUGACUGCAAGAUCAAUCUAAUGGUAUAUAUUGUGUUGGAGAGAAAAAUAUGUUGGAGAGCAUCUUAAUCCUAUGUUUUGACUGAGAUUAAAUAUAUUGUAUUUGUUAGUAAUUAUUGUAUAUAUGAAUUUUUUAUAAGGAAGAGUCAUUGAAUUUGUGUAUUUUUCUUAUAAAUAACUCCCUGAGAGACCAAUAAAUAUGUUAAAUUGUUUUUUAAUUUUUCUAAAUAAGGUAAAAAAAAAAAUACUCCACUAUCUAGCUUUAGUCAUGCGUAUGUUUUGUCGAAUGAUUAAUUUUGAAUUUUGAAAAAUAAUCUACUCUCUUUCUGAUAUAAAUAUCUAGAAACUUUUUUAUAAGGACAACAAAGGCAUAUAAAAAAUAUUUUGAAAAAUACUUUCAUUGUGUGUAUUUCAUGAUAAAUUUAAAAAGAAUGUACUAGAAUCAACUAGUUGAAAACUGUUAUGUCAGACACAUUGAUCCAGAAAACAACAAACACUUCUUGAAUUUUAUAAUAAUUAUAACAUUAAUCAUUACAUCGAUAACUUAAAUAAUUUUACAUUAACUAUUCUUAUUUAUUAUUAUUAUUAUAACAGACAAGCCUUUUAAAAAAAUAAUAACAAUAUACAAGAUUGGUUUUAUUUUAUACUAUGCUCUUUUUAUAUAAUGGUUUUAUACAAGAUUGUCAAAGUAACUCGCUUCCAGAUUUCACCAAGCAAUGGGUGGAUGGAAGAAUAAAGAUGUGGCAACAACCCAUCAAAUAUUUAAAAUGUAAUAUAAAUAAAACACGAAAUCAAAUAAUUAAUAAUUUACUAUAUUCUCCAUAUCAGUUGAAAUCAAACAUCAAGAUUGAUCUCUCUCCAAGUACUAACAUUAAUAAGCUAUCUCAAGAAACCAUACAACAUUCACCAACCUGUUAAUUAGCAUAGUGUCCCCUUUCCCCGCAUUACUCUUUCAUCAUCUUGUCAUAAUUUUAUUUUUUGUCAGUAUAAGUAUACUAACGAAUCAAAUGACGUGAACCUAGAAAGAGAGAUGACGUUCUCAAAUUCUCAGCCACAAACAACCAUCUCUCUUUGGAAAAGGAUAGUAAACUAAAUAUAACUGAGGAAAGAAAAAACAAACCUCGAACCACUCUAUAAGCCUCCCUCUUGUAUUCCUCCUGUUCAUUGGCGUCAAAAACAGAAGCGUUGAAAUUGAUUACAGUUGGCCAUCAUUUGGGCAAUUUCCUUUGGAACGGAACCACCUUAUUCUUCGCAGAGCGCUUCACGGAGUCCCGAACUGGCACUGACAACGGAUUCGUGUCACUUCUCUAACCCCACGCAACAACCACCUCUUUUCCGCCGAGACUUCGGUCCCUCCGCACCACAACAGGCUUAUGGCUAGAUGUGUUACGACGCCAAGACGAAAACCUAGAAAUCAAUUAAGCCAAAAUCGUGAAAACAGAAAAGGCGAGGAAGGUCAAAGCCGCCGAAGUUCCGAGGAAAUGCAAGGUGGAAGGGCGACACGAAACGACAAACCUCCAGUUGUGGUCGAGAGUGACCAAGGUUUGCAAAUCUCGGUAAGUGUCUUUGCCAGAAGAUAGGAACCGUCAAAGUUCAGUUUGGAAAGCGGUUAAGGGAGUGAGGUCGAUAAGAGCUUUGGUUCAAAUGAGGAGGUGGAGGUGGUGGUGGGAAGAGAUAAUUUGUUGUGACGUCUGCGGCUUCGACUGCGGCGGCAGAAGGAGGAGCACACGACGGUGAGACGGCAAUGGUGACGGCAUGGGGAUGGCGGAGCGAACUGGGGGGGAAGGUGUUGACAGAGAACCCCACGAUCUUGUUCCUUAGCCUCUUCGAUGGUCAUGGGCACUUCUAGCUUUGUGAGGGAAGAGUGAACGAGAAUGAGAAUCUCUCAGUUUUUUUUUUAAUGGAUCUAGGGUUGUCCAAGCUCUUGUCCAAUUAAAACGUGCCACGCCAGCAACAAAAAGUGGAAACUCAAUGUUUUUAAAGACGGUUUUAAAAAAACGAUUUAAUUUUAGAAGAUGGUUUUGAAAAAAUGAUACAGUAAAGUAUAUUUAAAGUCAUUUCUAAAGAAAUUGCCUUUAAAAAGUUACAACUAUUUAAAAAAUGUCGCCGCUUUGCUUACUACAUUGACCUUUGUAUAACCGACUUAAAAUCAAUAUCAUAAAAUACUUUUUUUCUAGUAGUAUAAUUGUUUUAUACUAUAAUUUUAAACUAAUCAACUUCAAAACAUAUAUACAUGAAAAGUUGCAAGCGGAUGGGGAUGGGGAUAGGGUCUGCUCACCUCUAGAUCCGCAGUGGAUAAUAGCCUAACUUUUUGUUAUGUGAUAAAAAAAACAUUAAUUAAAUUAUAAAGUGAAGAUAAAAUUUACAUCCUUGUCGUUAAUUUAGUCUCAUUCAAAAGUGAAGCAUUCUCAUGUCAUGGACAAGCCUAAAUGUUAAUGAUUGACAUACAAAGCAAAUCAAUGUAACGCUCUGGUGGAAUUAUUACAAAAUAAUUCUUAUUCUACAAGGCAAUGUAUCAUUGGACUGCAUUUACGUUUGUUUUAAUCAAUACCAGAACUCAGAUUCUCUUACCUGCCAAAUUAUAAUUUUUUUACUGAGUUAACAGUUGAUACAAAUUUAGAUGUUACGAAAAUUAAAUGAAAUUCUAAAUCCGAAUUUUCGUAAAUAAUUCUUUUCAUAAUUUUAUUUAGGAUACGUGUAAAUAGUAUGAAUGUUUUUUUUGUUUUUUUAUAAAACAAAUCCAUUUUAUAUAUGUAUCCUUCUUUUUCCCCCUCGGUAAGGUAUAUACAGUAGGAUAUUUGCCAAUAAUUUUACAAAAAUAGGUAAAAGUAAAAAAAAUAUUUUCGUAUAAGGUGUAAGUAAUUUUUUGAGCGAAUUAGGAUAUUUUCUUAUCUAAAGCUACAGAAUUAAUUCCCCAAAAUAUUAAGAUUCAUUUUAAGUAGUUGAUAUAUCUUAAUAGAUAAUUAUUCAUACACAUAAAAAUUCAUGAAUAAGUUUAUUUAACAUUCAUGUUAGAUGAUAUAGUAUGAAAAUUAUUGACAUGUCAUAGGUUUUUUUUUAUAUCAAUUAUAAUUAUAAUUGAUGUAGAAAGUGACUUUUACAUCAAUUACAAACCUAAUCAAUGAAAAAAGUGAUUUUUUUAAAAUAAUUAGAUUACAUGUAUGACCCAUGUAAAAAAUACAUGGGAUAUAACUAGGAUAAAAAAAAAAUCACUCUUGUAAAUAAUUUUGCAGGCAGGAUUUUGGUUAGAGAGCAUCCACGGUUAAGGGAAAUCUGAAAUAUAAUCAUAAAUAUGUUACUUUUUUAAUUUAUUAUUUUUAAAAUAAUUACUCUUUAAAAACUGAGAGCACAUUUGUUAUUUCGUGCGAUUCGUGAUGCAUUUCUUCGUACAGAAUAAUAGCAAUCUUUUAUUUAUUCUUUUACGUGUGCAGUUAUGGACGUCUGCACGUUGGAAAUCAAAUAUUGACCUCAAAGAUAGCCCAGUACAAGAGAUAUGGCUUAGGCUUCACUCACUGCAUAUCCCCCCACACUUCCGCUUCAUUUGGUUAAACACCUUGAUUGUGGACGGCUGCCAUUUUUUAUCAGAUGCGGUCUUACCUUUCUGUUUACUUCCUUUAUUACCUAAAUUGAAAACAUUGCAAGUUCGAAACUGUGAUUUUGUGAAAAUCAUAUUUGAUGUGACAACUAUGGGACCACUCCCUUUUGCCUUGAAGACAUUGAUUUUAGAGCGGCUGCCAAAUCUGGAGAAUGUUUGGAAUUCAAAUGUUGAGCUUACGUUCCCCGAUGUGAAGUCAUUGGCACUAUGUGAUCUGCCAAAGUUAAAGUAUGACAUGUUGAAGCCAUUUACACAUCUAGAACCACAUCCUCUAAAUCAAGUCUGUAUUCAAAAGGUAUCAUUACUACUUCUAUAUAUAUGAACUAAAUUUCCAUCAUUAGUGUUCUUUACUACUUCUGUAUAUAUGAACUAAAUUGUCAUCAUUAGUGUUCUUUACUACUUCUAUAUGAACAAAUUGCCAUCCUGUUAAAAUUAAAAUGUUGUGAACCUUUCCCAUAUAUAUGCUAUGUUGAGUCUUCUAUCGAUCUUCUACGCAUAUUUGCUUCCAUUUUUUUUAUGAUUUAUCCACAUAAGUCAGAUAAUAGAGCUACUAUUAAAUAUUGAUCAUGAUGAAUUUAUAAUGGAACAUGUUGCAUUCAUGAUGUGAAACAGCAUUUGAGGUACGAUCCCUACUCUCAUUAUUUUCUUCUACAACCUUCCUAAUAAUCUCAUUUAUCACUUUUCCCGUCUCAAAAAUAUUAAACUCGAAAUAAAUUUGUUUGGACACAUAUCGACAUACGGUAUCAAUAUCCUUUCCCCACCUUAUAAAUAGCUAGCCUAGUUCGUCUUUUUUUUCUUUUAGCAUGAAAGUUCAUUAUUUCAAUUAUAUAAUAAAGAGCUGGAUCUAUAACUGCCCUAACCUGCUUUGUUGGUUUCUCUUCGUAGCUUACACCCAACAUAGAGCACCUGAUACUCGGUGAACAUGAACUGAACAUGAUUUUGAGUGGAGAAUUCCAGGGAAACCACUUAAACAAGUUAAAAGUUCUUACUCUGUCGUUUGAAUACGACGAAUUUCUACAACGGGUGCCCAAUAUAGAGAAGCUUGAGGUGUGUGAUGGUUUCUUCAAAGAGAUUUUCUGCUUUGAUAGCCUUAAUGUGGAUGAGGAUGGAUUGGUUUCACAGCUGAAAGUGAUAUGCUGGGACUCCCUUCCAGAGCUUGUUUCCAUUGGGUCAGAGAACUCUGGGAUUGUGCCCUUUCUCAGAAAUCUAGAAACAUUGCAAGUAAUCAGCUGUUUGAGUUCAAUAAAUCUGGUACCAUGCACAGUGUCUUUCUCCAAUCUGACAUAUUUGCUAGUACAAAAUUGCAAGAGUCUGCUAUAUUUGUUCACAUCCUCAACAGCAAGAAGUUUGGGUCAACUCAAAACAAUGGAGAUAAGUUGGUGUGAUUCAAUUGAAGAGAUAGUGUCUUCAGCAGAGGAAGGGGAUGAAUCAGAUGAGAAUGAGAUAAUAUUUCAGCAGCUCAAUUGUUUGAAACUUGACGGAUUAGGAAAGCUGAGAAGGUUCUACAAAGGGAGUUUAAGUUUCCCGUCCUUGGAGGAAUUCACAGUAAUCGGUUGCGAGAGAAUGGAAAGUUUGUGUGCAGGUACAGUCAAAACAGACAAGCUGUUAGAAGUGAAUAUUAAUUGGGGCGGAGAUGUUAUCCCAUUGGAAACUAAUCUCAACUCUGCCAUGCAAAACCGAUAGCCAUUUCUGUCUUUUUAAUCAACAUUAUUAUAAUUGUUGUUAUCAUACACUGUGUCAGAAAUUUGGAUGGAAAUAACUUUUUCUGAGGAGAAUGACUUUGCCUAAAUAACUCGCAAUUCGAGGCCAUGUUAAAUUAUUUUUAUCUUUAUUUAUGUACUAGUUUAAAAAAUUACUGAAUUUCGUUUUUACGAGUAUGCUAUGUUAAAAGAUUAAUUUUAAUUUUUAAGAGUUUAAUUACUGUGUCUAUAACUAAAAGUGCGUCAUAAGUUAUAUUAAUUGUUCUUUUUGUUUACUAUUACUUUUACCUAUAUUUCAAGCUUCAAAGUUUUCAACAUAUAACUUCGUCGAGAAAAAAAAAUCUUCAACAUAACUCUUGAUUGUAGUUGGAGUUUUCCACUUUGCUAAUCUCCUACAAUUAACAUCUAAAUCGGCUUUAGCCAAGGCCAAUAACGGAAUUGUAACUGCUGUACUGAAUGAAUCAUUCGAUUAUUUAUUAAAAUUACGAAGAGUAUCCGUGCGAAUAUUGUCCCUAUUAAUUAUUUGGGAGACUUUUUUUAAUAUAUAUAGCCUGCUAAUCAUGUGAAAACGAAACCAUAUUUGGUGUGAAACGUGCAACACAAGACAAAAUCAUGACUUCUACAACAGGUAUAUGUUGACAAUUGUAAUUGCCAUAAAAGUGUGUUUCCCGAAUCAGUAGGCAAAGAUCUUGUGAAACUUGAAAAUCUAGUUAUUGCAGAGGAUAAUGCAAUAGUUGCAAUAUAGCCUGCUAUAAUCGUCUAAUCGAUUGCCCCUGGAUGAAAACUUUCAGCCCUGUCAACAACUGGUUUUCUGCAGCAAAUGAUUUGAGCUUUAUUCUCUCAUUAAUAUACAGUCAAUCAUAUAGAUUACUAACACACGCCAUUAUCAUACAGUGUAAUAUGUUAAAGGAUCUCAAAUCUUUAUAACUAAACAAUCUCUUACCAACCAUGUAAACUAUUUUUCAUUAUUUUCUUCUCCGUUGGACCCUCAAUAACAUCUCCGUAUUGAUCUCAUUUAUCAAAAGUUUCAUCUUAAAAUUUUAAACUCUAAACAAAUUUGUAUGCCCACAUACAAUAUCAAAACCUUUCCACCUUAUUAAUAGCUAGCCUGGUUCAAUUUUUUGGCUUUUAAGUAAAUUAUAUUUUUUUUUCUUUUAAAAUGACUUGUUUGCACCUAUUUAAUUGAAAAAAUUAAUUUCUCAUUAACUAUCAGGCAUAUUUCAGUAUGAAAGCUCAUUUUUCAAUUAUACAUAAAAGUGUUGGAUCUAUAACUAUCCUAAACUGAUUUUUCUCAUUGUUAUUGUUUUAUGUGAUUAUGAAAAAGCUUAACAAUUUAUAAAGUUCUUAUCAAUUAAUGUGUGAUUCAAUAACUUGUUCCACUAGGACGAUGCAUGCAUUAUAUUUCAUGUGAACCCAAUAGCUUACUAUUCAUAAAAAAAAUCCCAACCUAUCUUAUUUAACCUUUUGUAAUAUGUAGAGAUUGUUGUAAUUUGAAGUAUAUAACAAAAGAUCGAGUCCCAUAUUGUUGGGGAUAAUUUUGACUCAAGUUUUUAUAUAUCAGUUUUGUGGUAUAGGUUUAGAAGCUAACUAGUAAAAAAAAAAAAUCUAUCGUGCAAGCAUUCUCAUUUUCCUCAGUAUUCUUAAUUUGAGUUUAGCUUACCAACAUACAUCUCAGCUGAAAUUGCUCGAGACAAGAAGUUGUUUAAUGUGGUGGCUUUUUGAGAAAUAACAGACAACCCCAAUCUAAAAAAGUCCAGGAAAGAUAUUGUUUACGUGUUGGGAUUGAGAUUGGAAGAAGAAGGUGAGAAUGUAAGAGCUGAUACAGAUUAGACUUGAAUAGGUUGGGGAUUCCACUUGAUGGUGAUUAUAAGGGCUGCAAAAUUUUGCUAACUUCAAGAAAUAAAAACGUAUUAACUGAUAAAAUGGAAGUUAAGUCAACUUUCUCUGCAGAGAAAUUAGAUGAAAAAGAUGCUGAUCAAGUUGUUUCGGAAGGAGGCUAGAAUAUAGGGUGAAAUGUCAAAGUCUAAACAAGAAAUUGUUAAAGUUCAGGAUUACCUAUGGCAAUAGUUAUAGUUGGAAGGACAUUGAGAGACAAGAGCAACUCAGUGGGAAAAACUUAAAAACAAAGACCAGGUGGGAGAUCAGACUAAUAAAAAUUAAUCUAAGCUCCCGAUGACUACCGAAGCAUCCAAACUAACAAAAAUUACAUCAAUAAUGAUCCCUUAUGCUUUCAGCAUUAAAUGGAAAAGAAUUGUUGUAUUCGUGUGUCGGAUACAGCCGGGAUACAACUUUGAUACGACUCACGUUGCUUGGAUACGACUCUCAUGUUUCUUUGAAUAUUUUAAUAAUAUUAUUGUUUAAACUUUAGUUACGAUUUUUAAAAUAAAUAAAAAGUACAAACAUAAACAAAAACACAACUUUUUGCUUUUCUCAAAACAUAAACAAAAACAUAACAUAUCAUUUUCCUCCGAGCAUGAAAAGUCCUUUUUCGGCAAUUUUGAACUUUCUUUUAGUGAGGGAGUUUAUUUUUCUGGUCUCUCUCCACACAAAGCACAAACCAUGCUUUUAUUGAACAUAAUCUUUCUGCCAACUAUGAUUGCUAAAACAUAAUCCGCAUAUUUGCAGUGUUUUAAGUUUUAACAACUCUCAGUAUCAUUUUCAUAAUUUCAUUUUAACACCAACAUAUUGACUUUUUUUUUAACAUUCAUAUAUAUAUAUAUAAAGGAAUGUUAUAAAGGAAUGUUAUCAUCAUAUUUUCAUCGAUUCCUAUUAUAAGGUAUCUAUUAUUAGUAAGGCUUAAGGUAUCCUUUAAUCCAUUAAAUAUAAAAGUUAUUUUUCACAAAAGAUGUAUCUUUAUUAUUUAUCACUAUUGUUCAUAAACUAGGAAUGUUACUCUUCCAAACCCUCCUCGACAGAUCAAAACAACCCAUCUCACACGCUUUGCGCUCUUCCAGAGUUCCACACGUUGACAACCCCAUCAGAGACAGUGCCGUAAGAGCAACAUCACCUCCGUGACAAGUGGUCCCCCUCAUCUGACUUUAAAAAAGGCUAUACAUGCAUGCAGAAUCAAUACACAGCUAAUGAAUUAAAAAUUUAGUAGAUGUGAAUUAAUGGGAUGGAAUUAAUGUGUUUAAGAUCAAGUUUGAGUGUGAAGCUGGCAAUCUUCUUUCUUGUGAGAAUAAAAGAAAAAUUCUUCGUUAAAGACACAAAUAUACAUUCAAACUUAUAUCUUUUUUAUGUUUUUUAAAAUCUGAGAUGCCUUUGUAAUUUUUAACACAUGGUUACUUGAUCUGGUUUUAGUAAAUGUAUUUUGAUUUUUGAUUGAACAACUAUAUAACAUUCUUUAAUUUACUCAUUAGCUCUUGACGGAUCUGUUGGAGAAGAGAUGUAAUUGUACCUAGUACAAGAAAAUCAAGAUCAAAGCAUGAAGACUGUGUCCAGCCAGUAACUAAUUCUGUGUUGGAUAUGCUUGAAAAGCAAGUGGAUUACAUCCGUUACAGGCGAAACUUUGAUGAACUAGAAGUGUGUUAAUUUCCUUACUUUAGGAACGAUGAUGACCACAAAAAGACACGGUUUUCCAAUUGUUUAUUUCCUUACUUAAUAAUGCAAUGAGGACAAUUGAGACAGGCUGGCAGGGAUGGAUCAUUCAUUUAUAAGCUUAAACUGAAAGAAUCUUUAAUUUACACCCGUGAAAGAAAAAGCCAGGACCACUUCUACUCUCCAUUAUAUCAACCUACUUCCCCACUUAUUUCGUUUACGUCCUUAGCUGGGGCAUCAAUUUGUUUAUUUAAUCCCUGUACUUUUUAUAAAAAUGUUAUUUGUGGCCCAUCAUGAAUAUAUAGAUAAUCACCACAAUUAAGAAUGCAAUGAAGAUAAGAUGACAAUUGAGAUAAGAGGGAAUGAACCUUAAGAUAUUUUUACAUUCCAAACACUCAAACAGGGAGGAUCAUUUCUGAUCGAGUAUGUUUUCUGGUUUCUUUCGUCAUGCUCUCAGUAUUCUCUUGCUCUUUAACUUGAUCUUGGUCUUCUUCGGACUAGUAGUACGCCAUCCAUAUGCUUAAAUCAUGUUUAGCUUGCCAACAUAUUUCUGCUUUCUUCCUAAAUCUGCUCUUUUUUUCUCACAUUCAGUUUAUUGCUUAGGAUUUGGAAUAGUGACAAGUAAAGACAAAUCACAACUCACGGUCAUCCAAUUCCAAGAAUAGAGGUUUGCUCCUUUCUUUAUAGCUUAUUAUAUUGGCUACUUCUUUUGUUCAUUUAUUCAAGAUUUGAAGAAAUUUCACUCAUAAAGAUGGAUAUAUAAAGUUCUCGUUUAGAUCUUUCAACUCUCAUGGCUAAUUUAACAAAAAAAAUAAUACAUUAUAAUUUUUUCCUAAUUUAACUGGUAGCUCUUUAACAAAAUUUUGACAAAAUUCAUUUCAUUCAAAUGUCCAAUAAUAAGCUUUAAGAGGCAGCAGCUUCAAAACGAGGGGAAUAUUCAGAAAUGAAUGCUCAUAAAUAAAUAUAUUUGCAGGCUAGCUUUUUGUUUCUUAGUUAUCAAUUUGGUCUUCAAGGUUUAAUUUGAUUUCAAAUUUCAGCGAUUUUAUUUAUGAACAGUGGCAAUUAGUAUAUUUAUUAUUAGUUUAAAAAAUAAAACAAAUUUCAUUUCUUUUUCUUCUUGACUUUUGGUUCUGUGCUUGGUUUCAUCCUCGGAAGGAUUUCCCAAAGCAAAGUGGUGGUGCCACGCCACAGUGGUCAACUUUUGAGUGCGUGUGGUUUGGUUGGGUUAAGCCAAAGUGCGGAGUGAAGAAGAAGAAAAAAUGAGAAUCCUUUUAUUUUUUUAUAUAAUAAUAAAUAUAGUGACGGAAGAAGAAGAAAUGAUUAAAUAUCGUCACUAUUCAUAAACAAAAUCAGUUGAAAUUUUUUAUCUUAAGGAUGCCAACCUAAUUAGACGGAAAAGAGCAGAUUGGUCUGUUUUGUCUAUUUUAAAAUAAUUUGUGAUUAAAGUGAAUUUUUAAAAAAUUUGGAACCAAAUUAUACCUUUUAAAAAAUAAUUUAGGAACUAAAUUGAUAAUUAAGUUUUUUUUAAGGAUGCUCCAAACUUUUGGAUUAAUAAUAGUGAUGUAUAUUUUCAUUAUUUAACUAUAUGCUUUAUAAUAUAUAGUUUAUUAGACCUACAACCGUAUUCCAAUUUAGGUUUUUUUUUACCUAACAGGGGUAGUUUUAUUUUUGAAAAAUUUAUCAAGAUGAGUAAUUUUUGAAUUUAAUAGGGAGUUAUGAUUAAGUUAUGUUUUAAAACUUAACUUUUAAUAAACCACAUGCUAAUGUGCACAAAAUAAAUGAAAUGCAUGGAUAAAUGCACACACUUAUCCAUUUUGAGCGUCCUUGUCUUACAAUUGUUUGUGAUCAUCAACAUAUAUAUGUUAAUCAUUUGGAUAAAUUAUUUUUAUUAUUUAAAUAAAUUAUUUUUUAGCGUCUUGGUCUUGCAAUUGUACUGCAAUCAUCAAAAUAUAUUUAAAAUUAUUGAAUUCUAUUUAAAUAAAUUAUAUUUGUCAUUUAAAAAUAUUAUUGAAAAUGAAAGUUUUUAAACCAUGGAGUCCUUCCCGUUGUUCAUUGAUUAUUAAAUGAACUUGUGAAUUUCGAUUAACAUUACUACUUAAAAUCAAAAUUAUCUAAAUAAACAUUUAAUUAUUAUAAUUGUAUAUUAUAUCGCGUUUUAUUACUUAAUAUGAAAACUAUCAAAAUUAUUUUUUUAAUUAUCAAAUUAUAUACUACCUCCGUUCUUAUUUAUAAAAAACAAGUUAUACUAUAAAAAGAAAUAAAGAUAAUAUUAAAUAAGAUUAUUCUAAACAACAUAAUUUUGCAUUAAAUAAAAUUGUUAAAAAAAUAUAUAAUCAUUGAUUAUUAUGAAACUAAGGUUUCGAUAAUUGACAAACUUUUAUUCAAGUAUCUCUUACUAUAUGUUUUUUGAAUAAAAAAGUAACAUUUACUAUAAACUAGAUUUUAAAUCCAUGCAUUGCAAAAAUUUCUUUAAUUUUUUUUAUAUUUUACUUAAUACUUUUUAAAAUAUAUAUUUAUCAAUAAAAUUAUUAUUUUUAAAAAUAUUUAUAUUAAAUUUGAGGAAGAAGAUUAUCUAUAUUCUUAAUUAAGUUCAUUUAUAAAUACUUAAAUGUGUUUGCGCUAAACAUCAAAUUAUGGUACUAUUCAAAUAAUUUAACUUUAACUUCAAUAUAUUAAUUAUUUGUGUUCAAUCGCUUGAUUAAAGAGUCUUCAAUCUACACCUACCAUAGUAUUUAUAGUUUGAAUAAAAUUAAAUUAAAAAAUAAAGUAUACUCAUAUAUAUAUAUAAUAACUUUUAUUUUAAUUUUUAUCCUUAAUUAUUAAUUUUAAAAGUAUAUAAUAAAUAUAAUAUUAAAAAUUAAUAUGAAAAUGGUAUAAAUUAACAUUUUAUCAUCAAAAUUAUAUAUAAAUAGAAUUAAUGUUAGCAAUUUAAUUUUUUUAUUAAAUGUAAUUAGCUAGGAGCAUUAAAUUAAAUUACAUCCGACUACUAUUACAAAGUUAAAUAAUCAAUCUAAUGAUUAGAAAACUUCAGUUGAACUUUAUUAUAGAUAUAAGAGAGAUAACUCUAUAUAUUAUUAUUUCUCAUGAAAUAUAUAUUAGAGUAACUAAUGUAGAAAAUGAGCAUAAGUAGUGAUAAAACAUUUAACAUUACUACUUAAAAUUAAAAUUAUCUAAAUAAACAUUUAAUUAUUACAAUUGUAUAUUAUAUAGUGUUUUAUUGAAAAUGAUCAAAUUUAUUUUUUUAAUUAUUAAAUUAUAUACUACCUCCGUUCUUUUUUAUAUAAAAAAAGUUAUACUAUAAAAAAAAUAGAAAAUAUUAAAUAAGAUUAUUGUAAACAACAUAAUUUUGCAUUAAAUAAAAUUGUUAAAAAAAAUAUAUAAUCAUUGAUUAUGAUGAAACUAAGGUUUCGAUAAUUGACAAACUUUUAUUCAAGUAUCUCUUAUUAUAUUUUUCUAAUAAAAAAAGUAUGAUUUACUCUAAACUAGAUUUUAAAUCCAUGCAUUGCAAAAAUUUCUUUAAAUUUUGUUAUUUUACUUAAUACUUUUUAAAAUAUAUAUUUAUCAAUAAAAAUUUUGUUUUUUAAAAUAUUUAUAUUAAAUUUGAGGAAGAAUAUUAUCUAUAUUCUUAAUUAAGUUAAUUUAUAAAUGCUUUAAAUGUGUUUAUUGUAAAAAAAAAUAUUUUUUAGAAUUGUUGAAUAGUGUGAUUUUAUUAAUUAAAUAUGGUCGUUAAUUAUGUUUAAAUGUUUAUUUAUUUAUUUAUUUUUAGAAAAUGUUUGUAAUCUCGGAAAAAGAAAAAAUGAGUUGGUUUUCUUAUAUUGAAUCCUCAUAUGAAUAAUACAUACAUUUUUUGUAUUGUUAUAUUUGAAAUGUUUGAUUAGUGUUUGAGUCAUGUGGUAUUAUUGCUUGUAACAUAGGUUGUAACAUAGGUUUAGUGGGUCUAGAACCAUUUGCAAUUUCUUUAAAAAUAUUACCUGAAUGGUCGUAUACCGUGUCCAUUAAGUUAUUGAGCGUUGUUUUAAUGAUUUCAGUAUUUACAAGAUUAUUAAGAGUGUCCUUUUUGGAGAAUGUUAAUAAACUCGAUUUUGAACAAACAAUUAACAUUUAUCAUUAAAUUUAUUAAUAUAAGAAGGAUUAAUAUAUAUGUUUCAAACUUUAUAAGGAUUACUAAUCAUUAAAAUUGUUACCGUUGUCUUUAUAUGUAGAAAAGAGGAUAUUUUUUCACCUAUAUUAAGAGUAUGCAAGUCAUAUUUAUUUUUUGCAUUUAGUAGGAUUAUAUUGGUUUUUUAAACUUUAAUAUUAAUAAUAAUAAAAUAUGCAUAACGGUUAAUUAUAAGAUAUUCUGAUUUUUUUUAUAAGUUGAUGAAAAGGGCAUUUAGUAGGAUUAUUGAUUUUUUUGUUGUUGUUCAAAAUGGGAAAAGAUACAUAUUUGGUAAAACAUACAAACAACUAUGCUUUUGUAUUAUUAGAUUUAUUUAACUAUAAGCUUUAUAAUUUAUAGUUUCUUAUACCAUAUGUUUGUUUAUCAUAUUAUAUAGUAACUCUUAAUACUUAGAAUUAUCUUCGUACGGCUAAAUCUUACAAAAUACAAUUUUUUUUACAAUUAUGAGAGACAUAGAAAGAAAUAGUAAAAAGUAAUUAGGAGUAAAAUGAAUAAUAUAAAAGAGAAAAAUAGAAGAAUUUUUUUAUAAAAAUUAAAAUUAAUAAUAAAAACAUACUGUACAAAUAAUGCUACUUUUACUUAUCCAUUACUUAACCAAGCCGUACAAUUAUUAAUUAGAAUUUAUAAAAUAUAUUGAAUAAUAUUGUUUUGAAGAAGCAUUCUCUCCCUGUAUUCACACCCCUCCUCCAAAGGUUGUUCCUCUACCAAUCCUCUUUGAAAAACCAGAAAUCCAAUUGGCAUCAGUGUCUAUGACAGAACAUUGAAGCAUAUCACACAGAAUAUGAGAAACCUUAUCUAUUAAUUUAGUGUUGUCAUCAACCCAUUAAUCAUGCCAAACACUAGCAAUGGACUCCCACAGAAAUGAGUCUGAAUUUUAAACAAUUAAAGAGCUCGGAUUGCUGUCAUUUCUGCCAUAUUUUCCUUUUAACACUUGCACCCACAAGCUAUCACUUCUGAUCGAGUAUGUUGUCUGGUUUCUUUCGUCAUGCUCUCAGUAUUCCUAAAUCUGCUCUUUCUUUCUCACAUUCAGUUUAUUGCUUAGGAUUUGGAAUAGUGACAAGUAAAGACAAAUCACAACUCACGGUCAUCCAAUUCCAAGAAUAGAGGUUUGUUCCUUUCUUUAUAGCUAAUUAUAUUGGCUACUUCUUUUGUUCAUUUAUUCAAGAUUUGAAGAAAUUUCACUCAUAAAGAUGGAUAUAUAAAGUUCUCGUUUAGAUCUUUCAACUCUCAUGGCUAAUUUAACAAAAAAACAAUAUAUUAUAAUUUUUUCCUAAUUUAACUGGUAGCUCUUUAACAAAAUUUUGACAAAAUUCAUUUCAUUCAAAUGUCCAAUAAUAAGCUUCAAAACGAGGGGAAUAUUCAGAAAUGAAUGCUCAUAAAUAAAUAUAUUUGCAGGCUAGCUUUUUGUUUCUUAGUUAUCAAUUUGGUCUUCAAGGUUUAAUUUGAUUUCAAAUUUCAGCGGCUUUUAUUUAUGAACAGUGGCAAUUAGUAUAUUUAUUAUUAGUUUAAAAAAUAAAACAAAUUUCAUUUCUUUUUCUUCUUGACUUUUGGCUCUGUGCUUGGUUUCAUCCUCGGAAGGAUUUCCCAAAGCAAAGUGGUGGUGCCACGCCACAGUGGUCAACUUUUGAGUGCGUGUGGUUUGGUUGGGUUAAGCCAAAGUGAGGAGUGAAGAAGAAGAAAAAAUGAGAAUCCUUUUAUUUUUUAAAUAAUAAUAAAUAUAAUGACAGGAAGAAGAAGAAAUGAUUAAAAAUCGUCACUAUUCAUAAACAAAAAGAUGCCAACCUAAUUAGAUGGGUUAAGCCAAAGUGCCGAGUGAAGAAGAAGAAAAAAUAAGAAUCCUUUUAUUUUUUAAAUAAUAAUAAAUAUAAUGACAGGAAGAAGAAGAAAUGAUUAAAAAUCGUCACUAUUCAUAAACAAAAAGAUGCCAACCUAAUUAGACGUAAAAGAGGAGAUUGAUCUGUUUUAUCUGUUUUUAAAAUUUUAGAACCAAACUAUACCUUUUAAAAAAUAAUUUAGGAACCAAAUUGAUAAUUAUGUUUUUUUUAAGGAUGAUUCAAACUUUUGAAUUAAUAGUGAUGUAUAUUUUCAUUAUUUAACUAUAUGAAUUUAUUACGGAGUUGUGAAUAAGUUAUGUUUUAAAACAUAACUUUUAAUAAACCACAUGCUAAUGUGCACAAAAUAAAUGAAAUGCAUGGAUAAAUGCACUGACUUAUCCAUUUUGAGCGUCCUUGUCUUACAAUUGUUUGUGAUCAUAAACAUAUAUGUUAGGGAUCAUUUGGAUAAAUUAUUUUUAUUAUUUAAAUAAACUAUUUUUUAGCGUCCUGGUCUUACAAUUGUACUGCGAUCAUCAAAAUAUAUUUGAAAUUAUUGAAUUCUAUUUAAAUAAAUUAUAUUUAUCAUUUAAAAAUAUUAUUGAAAAUGAAAGUUUUUAAACCAUGGAGUCCUUCCCAUUGUUCAUUGAUUAUUAAAUGAACUUGUGAAUUUUGAUUGAUGAAAUGUAUUUCCUUAAUUAGUUAUAGACUGAUAUGGUUUUUAUUUAUGUGGGGAAGAGAUGUAGUUAUAGUAUCAAGCUGACAGAAUGGAGUCUGUGUUGUCCCCGAUAGUGGAACGAACCUUUAAUUUUGCGGUGGACCCCAUUAUUCGGCAGUUGGCCUACAUCCUCCGUUGCAGGCAAAAUGUUGAUGAACUCUUGACUAGUUUUGAGAGUCUUGAACUUGAAAAAGAGUCCAUAGAUCGUCGAUGUGACCAAGCUCAGAAUAAUUUACAAAACAUUGAAGCCAAAGUCAAAGAAUGGUCAAGGAAAGUAGAUGAGUUCAAGACUGAACUAGAGAAGUUUAGGAACGAUGAAGGCCACACAAAGACAGGGUUGUCCAAUGUUUUAUUUUUAUUUCCUUACUUUUGGAAUAGGCAUAGACUUGGCAGACAAGCUAAGAAGAUGGCAGAGAUUGUCAAGAAUCUAAUAGAUGAGUCGGCCAAGUUCAAUGAUGUUUCCUACACAGACAACUUAACAUUUAAUGAUUUCACUUUGUCUAAUCCGGGCUACAUGGGAUUUGCUUCUAGACAUUCUACAGUGGAAAAAAUAAUUGCAAAACUUGAAGAUUCCUCUGUAAGAAUGAUUGGGCUGCAUGGGAGUGGUGGCAUGGGUAAGACCACUUUAAUCAAAGCAAUUGCUAAGAAAGCUAUGGAGAAGAAGCUGUUUAAUGUGGUGGCUGUAUCAGAAAUCACAGCCAAUCCCAAUCCACAAAAAAUCCAGGAAGACAUUGCUUACCGGUUAGGAUUGAGAUUGGAAGGGGAGGGUGAGAAUGCUAGAGCUCAUCGUCUGAUGACGAGGUUAAAGCAAGAGAAGGAGAACACCCUUAUAAUCUUGGAUGACCUUUGGGACAGAUUAGACUUGAAUAAGUUAGGGAUUCCACUUGAUGGUGAUGUUGAUGAUAAUGAUUUAAACACGAAGACAAGCAAUGCUAAACAGGGUCCCAAAGAGGUGACUAAAGAAAAAUCUCUUGGUGAUUAUAAGGGCUGCAAAAUUUUGCUAACUUCAAGGGAUAAAAACGUAUUAACUGAUAAAAUGGAAGUUAAGUCAACUUUCUGUGUAGAGGAAUUAGAUGACGAUGAUGCUCUGAGGUUGUUUCGGAAGGAGGCUAGAAUACAGGGUGAAAUGUCCAAGUGGAAACAAGAAAUUGUUAAGAAGUACUGUGCAGGGUUACCUAUGGCAAUAGUUACAGUUGGAAGGGCAUUAAGAGAAAAGAGCGACUCGGAGUGGGAAAAACUUAAAAACCAAGACCUGGUGGGUGUUCAGAAUUCUAUGGAGAUUUCUGUAAAAAUGAGUUAUGACCGUCUAGAAAAUGAGGAGCUCAAGUCCAUUUUCUUUCUUUGUGCUCAAAUGGGUCAUCAACCCCUAAUUAUGGACUUGGUGAAGUAUUGCUUUGG
This 70514-nucleotide long non-coding RNA is filed under the name Glycine max (soybean). RNAcentral describes it as "long non-coding RNA (GMAX_LNC001431)". Lineage: Eukaryota; Viridiplantae; Streptophyta; Magnoliopsida; Fabales; Fabaceae. The record is from RNAcentral.